This 55472-nucleotide long non-coding RNA is filed under the name Hordeum vulgare. RNAcentral's name for it is "long non-coding RNA (HVUL_LNC008478)". Lineage: Eukaryota; Viridiplantae; Streptophyta; Magnoliopsida; Poales; Poaceae. The record is from RNAcentral.
AGACUGCAGUCCACUGGACAAAAUAGCUCAUUCAUGCUAAUGUAUACAAAAGAACAAGUCGAGUCACAUAAAAAGUAGAUGAACAAAUACCAACAAGCAAAUAAGAAUUACAAAGUACUAAUAAAUACUCAUCGCACAUGCAUGGAACUAUAGAAAUAAAAUUAAUACAGGGAAUACGACACCACUUAUUCUAGAAAUAACACAUUGCGGCUCCAUAAGGGCUCUCCUUCAUCAACUGUUAUAUAUCAGUAUCCCGUCAAUUGUGAGCUACCGGUGGUUUGCACUUCGGAGGCGGCUUCGGUUUUGGUUCAGGUUUAGGCUUGGGCUCCAUCUUUGGUUCGGGUUUUGGCAUCGGCUUGGGCUUAGGCUCUGGCUUUGAUUUUGAGCAGGGCUCGGGCUUGGGCUUUGGCUUUGGUUUUGGCAUUGUCUUGGGCUUAGGUUCGGGUUCGGGCUUGCGUCCCGGCUUUGGUUUGGGUUUGGGCAUCGGUUCAGGUUUGCAGGGCUCCGACUCUGAGUGUGGCAUAGGUUUUGGCAUUGGCUCUGGUUUGGGUUCUGGCUUUGGCUUUGGCUCUGCAAACUUCUCGACGACAGCAAGGUCUCGUCCAGCGGUAGCUGAUUGCUGGAAAGCGGAGGCUGCAACUAUCCCGAUGAAGAUCACGACGAGGAGGAAGUGAUGCCUCGUCAUUGCUACCUAUUUCUUGUGCUUGCAGCUAGUGUUGCACCUGGUGUGAUUUCUAUGUGUGCACCUGUGUGUUGUGUGGAGAACUGGAGAUACAUAUCAUGCGGUUUUAUAGGGUGGGCGAAACAAAGCAGAUCUGGAGCCUGCAUCAAUUAACAUUGCAACUAGAUAGCUGGAGUGACAAGUAUUGAGUAACAUCGGAAUGAAGUUAUAUUGGUUAAUUACGAAUGAAGCAACCAAUGUACGUACCUACAAGGUGUUAAUAAGCACAGCUGGACUUUAAUUGCCUCGAUGCGAUGAUAGCAGAAGGGUAACAAUAUUUUAACUCUGUUAGUUGCCUCCCGCAAGCAGAAAAUUAUGUUAGUUGCACUGUCCCAUGCUCACACGUCUAUGUGAUCACCCAUCAUCUAGAAAUGACAAGCCACCGUGUAUACACGUUAGUGCAAUACAAAGUAAAAGGCAAUCGCUACCGUUCAAUUCACAAUGGAAAAGAAAGCCCGGUCGAUUGCUAAGAUGUAUAGAUGUGAUAGUUAUUUACUAUUUUGUGACGUGAUAGCCAUUUACUAUUUUGUUUGCAGCAAAGGCUGCAUGCAUUGGCUCACUAUGACUGUGAAGAUAUGGGAAUAUGAGACAAGCCUUGUAUUAUUUUGUCCAGAAGAAAUUUUGAACCACGCCUUCUAAACCCGGAUGGAGGGAGUAGGAAAGAGGCCUUUUGGACCUCAGAUUCCAUGGAUCCUUUUUUUCAAAAAAAAAUCAAAAAAUAUUGUUUGAAGUUUCAAAAAAAUGUUACAAAACAAACUGUGGAUUCUAUUUUUGCAGCUCACGUGUAAAAUGGUUUCAUUAUGAAAGUCUAUACACAUUUGAAGGUACAUGUGGAUUUUAUUUUUAAAUUUUCUGAAACUUGAAAACAUGAUUUUUGAAGUUUUCAUAAAAGGUCUCCAUGGAGCGCGAACUCCAGAACAAGCCAGGUUGCCGACUUUAACACCAUGAUAUAUUUAGAUAGGCUAAGAAUUAUNNNNNNNNNNNNNNNNNNNNNNNNNNNNNNNNNNNNNNNNNNNNNNNNNNNNNNNNNNNNNNNNNNNNNNNNNNNNNNNNNNNNNNNNNNNNNNNNNNNNUGUUCAUUGGACCACACACAUCAGUAUGCAUUAUUUCCAAUAAGUCGGUGGCUCCCUCCAUUAUUCCUGAGAAUGGAGUCUUAGUCAUCUUGCCCAUGAGGCACGGUUCGCAUGUGUCAAAUGAUUCAAAGUCAAGAGACUCUAGCAGUCCAUCAGUAUGGAGCUUCUUCAUGCGCUUAACGCCGAUAUGACCAAGGCGGCAGUGCCACAAGUAUGUGGGACUAUCAUUAUCAACUUUGCAUCUUUUGGUACUCACACUAUGAAUACGUGUAACAUCACAAUCGAGAUUCAUUAAGAAUAAACCAUUCACCAGCGGAGCAUGACCAUAAAACAUAUCACUCAUAUAAAUAGAACAACCAUUAUUCUCUGACUUAAAUGAGUAGCCGUAUCGCAUUAAGCAAGACCCUCAUACAAUGUUCAUGCUUAAAGUUGGUACUAAAUAACAAUUAUUAAGGUUUAAAACUAAUCCCGACGGUAGAUGUAGAGGUAGCGUGCCGACGGCGAUCACAUCGACCUUUGAACCAUUCCGGACGCGCAUCGUCACCUCAUCCUUGGCCAGUCUCCGCUUAUUCCGCAGUUUCUGCUUUGAGUUGCAAAUGUGAGCAACAACACCGAUAUCAAAUACCCAGGUGCUACUACGAGCGCUGGUAAGGUACACAUCAAUAACAUGUAUAUCACAUAUACCUUUAAUGUUGCCGGCCUUCUUGUCCGCUAAGUAUUUGGGGCAGUUCCGCUUCCANNNNNNNNNNNNNNNNNNNNNNNNNNNNNNNNNNNNNNNNNNNNNNNNNNNNNNNNNNNNNNNNNNNNNNNNNNNNNNNNNNNNNNNNNNNNNNNNNNNNGGGAGACGAGACGAGGUAGGGUUUGCUUGCACGGCCGGCGGCGACUGCAGAGAGACGAGACGAGGUAGGGUUUGCUUGCACGGCCGGCGGCGACUGCGGCGAGGAGAGACGAGGUAGGGUUUGCUUGCCCGCACGGAGAUUAAUUGGGAGAGAUAUGGACAGACCGGGAUCAAGUCGGUCUCUCGUUUUUUGUUUUUUUUUNNNNNNNNNNNNNNNNNNNNNNNNNNNNNNNNNNNNNNNNNNNNNNNNNNNNNNNNNNNNNNNNNNNNNNNNNNNNNGCCGUAGUAAACCGAGUCGGUCGUCCUCUUUUGCAAACCUUCUACAUCAGCUUGUGUAAAUAUGAAAGGAUUAAUAAAGGAGGUAAAUUCUCGGCUGUUUUCAGAAGAGUUUAGGGUUAAAACUUGAACCAAAUCAGACACAAGCUAGUUUAGGAGGGGGGGGGGGGGGNNNNNNNNNNNNNNNNNNNNNNNNNNNNNNNNNNNNNNNNNNNNNNNNNNNNNNNNNNNNNNNNNNNNNNNNNNNNNNNNNNNNNNNNNNNNNNNNNNNNNNNNNNNNNNNNNNNNNNNNNNNNNNNNNNNNNNGGAAAGACCCGUCACCUCGCAAACCGUCGGAUAUCAAAGAUUGAGUGGCCGAGCAUCUUGCUAGGUUUCGUUGCAUAAAUUUUCUAUAAUACGGGUCAUGUUGCAUAAAUUUUUACAACAUAGGUCAAGUUGUAGAAUCGUUUUUACAAUAAAAAUCUUGCUGCAAUUUUUCCCUUGUUGCAUAAAUUUUCAUGACAAAAGUCUUAUUAUAGAAAAAAAUUGUAUAAUUUUUUCACAGCAAAGGUCUUGUUGCAGAAUUAUUCUGCAAUGAAGAUCUUGUGACAAAAAUUUAUAGUCUUUUUAUAAUCGAUGUACGUACGAGUCGAGGCCCUGCAACUUUUCUUAUAUAAAAUGGAUAUGUUUCUGGGAAAGGAAAGGUGGAGAACGGAUGAGGCCACAUAGACACGUGGUAGAUGAUGGAUGCGGUUGACGCCCAGGAGCAAUCCGUCGAUGGAUGCUAAUCAUUUUACAUUGGACUUCCCUCCCUAUCAAAAUAUAUAAGACCUUUUUAGUCUAAAAUUAAACUAAAAAGAGUCUUAUAUUUUAGAGUGAUUGACGAAAAAACUAUCACUUUAGGGGCUGUCAUCCCAAAGAGCUAUCAUUUUCAAAAAAAGUGAUUGAAAACUACUAAAAAAUUCAUAAUUUUGUUAUUAAAAACUACCAGUUUCGAAUAAUGGCCGGUUUAGACGAUUUAAACACACUUAUGACGGAUGGGCCCGUUUGUCAGUGAUGACGUGCUGAAAAAGUUAACUUUGUUAUUUCAGACCGUUAUGACUGGUGGACCCCACAUGUCAGUAUUAGUCAUCUUCUUCCUCGUCCCCUCUCUUGCUUUGGCAUUUUUUGAGGUGAACAACAGGAGCUCUGCCUUUGGAUUAAAGAAAAAAGAAAUCACGAGUCAUACAAGAACGCGGGAGAAAACCUGGAUAGUCCAAGUUAGAUCCCCAAGCAGCAAACCAAGAGAAAAAAGGAAAAAACAUAUUACAGGAGCACAACUAUAACACUACAUACCGAAAAAGGCUUUCGUCCCGCUUUAUAUGUAAAACAAAUCACCAGAGCACAGUAUCCAACAAAUGUUCACCGAACACACAGACACAGACAUACACACACACACACACACACACAAACGGAGUGGCACAAGAUAGUAUCGCAGGGUUCUGCUGAGGGAACAACUCAACAAGCCCUAAAGGAAGAACAAACAAAAACAACAACAAGCGGGCCUCAACAAGGCUAAUCCGGCUCGGGGGGGGGGGGGGGGGGNNNNNNNNNNNNNNNNNNNNNNNNNNNNNNNNNNNNNNNNNNNNNNNNNNNNNNNNNNNNNNNNNNNNNNNNNNNNNNNNNNNNNNNNNNNNNNNNNNNNNNNNNNNNNNNNNNNNNNNNNNNNNNNNNNNNCAUCGAGCGUAGGUCGGCGAUGAUGGAGUUGAUGGUGGCUCGUUCCCGGGAGUGGCUAAGUGACCGCCAAAGCUGCAGGUAACGACACAUUUUAAACACCGCAUCAGUGGCACGUCGAAGAAGAACACGUUGAAGCACAAGUUUAUUGCGAACGGUGUCCAGAGAGUCCAUGCGAGCACCCCCAAUGAUCAAUGCACAUUCUAGGCAAGCAACCCUAUCGAUUCUACAACAAUCAUAGCCAUGAACACGCACCAGCAAUCCUAAAAAUCUUAGCAAUUAUACACCGAUCAUAGUCAUAACGGCUUGGCUCAAAUCGAACCGAAUCGACGCAACCGCAACAAAAAACCCUAACCGCCCCGUCAUUGGCGUUCGCAACAUUCACUUGAAGCACUCCUAGAUGGCCAUGAGAUUUGGGCAACGAAGCACAGGGAGGCGGGGCUUGCAGCAUCCCGUGGUCGCCUUGCAGCAGCACGGCCCGGAUAUGUAGAGCGAGCUCAGCCGGCGACGUCCGUCGCAAUGGGAGAGGGUGCCAGGAAAGACGAAGGAGCGGAGAUUUUCAAGAUGAGGGGACGAGACUGGAUCGUGGGAGAGGCGGAGGUCGAUGGGUGGGCCAAGGGGCAUGUGUCGGUCGAUGGAGGCGGGUGUAGGUUGACCGUAAACAGUCGGUCGAUUUUAGUCAUUUCCCCCUCUUUUUUUUUUUUUUUUUUGCCUAGUGGUAUGCUAGCUUUUUGUAUUUUUGAGAAUAUAAUGCAAGUUUGGGUUUGGACGGCCAUAAGAUCUUGUGUCUAUUUGCAACUGUCAAACCAUAAUUCCCUUUUUUUAAUACUAACUCGGCUAAGCAAGUUGGUAAGUAGAUACGCACACGCCACAAAUGAAGCGGGUUUCUUAAACUCGACGGAAGAGAAGGCACGCGCCGCCGCGGGGUGGAGACGAUGGCCCCCGCCGCCGCGGCGCCGGCGCCGGCCGCCACCGCCUGCUCCUCGUCGGCGAGCUCCGCGCGCCCGCCCUCCACCGCCUCCUCCUCCCAGUCGCCGCCCAGGCGCACGGUCCCGGCGCUCCUCCUCUUCAUCUCCCUCGCCGCUCUCCUCAUCCUCUCCUCCGGCGAGGCCCACGACCCCGACGCCGACUCCGGGCGCCCCCUCAAAGGUUCGCGCGCCCCGCCCCGCCCCGCGACCGCUCUCUGUGCUCGGAUUUGGGUCCGUGCUGCGCGCGCGCGUGGGGAUCGGUUCCGGCCUCCCGCUAGGGUUUAGGGUUUUUCCGCGGUCCUGCCUGCCUUCGAGUUCGGGAUGCGUCCCCUCCCCGUGACUGUUGGUUGGGGCUUCGUUUCCGAAUAGGAUUUUUUUAGGUCGAUUUUCUCUUCGCUUGCAGUAUUGCGUCACCUUCUUUUUGGUCAAAUAUGUUCAGCAAUUUGCCCUCAGAACUCGUGAUCUGGGGUCAACUACUGGGGGGGUCGAGUGUUCAUUUCUUCUUGUCGCAGUAUCACACACACGCCUGUACCAAUGUUGGACUAACUAUUUAUUCAUUACUGCAGACGUUAGCUUGGAAUAUCCGGAGGUGACUUUUGCUCCCUCAUCCAUGGGUGGAAUUUUCUGUGAGCGAAUCCGCAUAUCUAAAAUACCAAGGUGGCAGUUUCAAAGCUAUGCAAAUCAAAUACAUAUAAGAAUGAAUGUCUCGCAUUCAUUGCCAGAAAAGUUCCAUUGGAAAAUACAGAUUUGCUUUCAUGGGUAAGUCUUGCAUUGUCUGAAGAAAAAGAAUGAAUAUAUGCAUCUUUGCUAUGCAGCAAAUUGAAGCGGUUUUCAUUUCCAGGAAUGUUUCUACCGGUCUGUGCCAAUGUGAGAUGGGUGAAUGGCAAGCUCUGCAAGGUGGCACGUGGAAUGCUGUCAAGUCUCCGUAUAACAGCAGAUAUGUUGAUGUGAAACUUACUGAUAAGAAAUCUGCUGUCUUCAGCCUUUCCAUUCAAGAAGGUAAAGAUUUCUUUCCCUGAAACCCUUCUGUUUCUACCAGUCAUACAUAUUUAAGAGCAUAUGUAUCUGCCCUUUUCUCUGAAAUACUAAUUCAUCCUCGUUCCGUGUAAUCAAAAUUUGCAGAGCUUCAGAAGUGGCGUUUAGCUUGCCUUGGUAUUGGAUUUGUUCUGCUAUUCCUGUCACCCAUCGUUAGUAAAUGGGCACCAUUUUACUAUAGCAGCUCUAUGGCUCUUGGAAUCCUACUUGUGGUGCUGAUUGUCCUUUUCCAGGUACUGUUUUAGUCAAAUACUUGUAUAUGAUUCUCUUGAUAAAGAUUUCAUUAUUAAAAGAAGUGAAAUGAAAUUAAUGCAUUAUGUUAGGAUGACCUAUUUUUCAAGGCUUUCUUGAAAGUUUUUCUAUUAAUCUAGUUGAUUGAUGUUCCAUAUUCUUAAGUACAUGUAAGCUGCAUGGAUGCAGGUUAAAUAGGCUUUGUUAUUAUGCUAGUUUCAAGUAGAGUACGCCAUGAAUCAAGUUUAAAGCUUGGCACCAUGAGGAUUCUUGCAGUUAUAUGCAAAGUGUUAAUGCUGACAUUUUUUAGCAAACCUAGAAACUUGAGUACACUACAUUAAGUAAGAUACUUAUGCCCUGUAAACUUGAUUUCGAUGGAGAUUCAACAUAGCACUAUAGUAAUUCAGUAGUCCCUCGAUCAACCAUGCCGUAGUAGUAUCUGAAGUUCUCUUGUACAAAUACUUGAAAGUCAGGUCCAUCUUGGUGAUUUAGACAUGAACAGCAAGCUUUUUAAGAUAAUACCUUAACGGUGUCUCUUAUUUUAUUGAACUUUGUAGCUCCUUGUAGCAUCAGGUUGUGUACAGAUGGACUAGCAUCUUGUGAGUCUUCAGUGUUUGAACCAUGUGAAGUUUUUUAGUGUAUCAGUGGGAGGGUCUGAUUGAUCAACCAACAACGAAGUUUGGUGUUUACUUUAGUACAUUUAAUUAAUACGGAAUAUUUUCUUGUAACUGGUACUGAUUUUGCUGGUUGGGGAAUCGUGAGCAUUUCUGACGAGGGAGUUAAUUUUUUAUUAUGUUCCUGUUUGUUUGUUUGUUCUCUACUCUUGUAGAUAACUAGUUACUGAUUUAAUUUGAUGUUACAGUAAUCAAAACUGUACACCCCCAAGUUCCAUAAUCUUUGCUCAGUGCACAUGAUGCCAAGUUAUCAGUGUGGCCCUGGCUACAAUUUAUGAUAAAGAACAGUCAUUCUCAAUCAUGUUUCUAUUUAUUUGCUGAUGGAUAAUUGGGUCCCUUAAUGUUUUGACCUUGUUCUUGUUAUAGGGGAUGAAACUGCUACCAAUGGGCAAGAAAGGUUUAUUUUACCUUACAAUUUACGGAUCUGUUGUAAGUUUUCUAUAUCGUCAGCAUUCUGCUAUAACAUUUUAUUACACCAUAAAUAUGCCUAUCUGAAUAUAUUCUCUCUAAUUCUUGAUAUAUGUUCAUUUCUUUUCCAAUAUUUAGUUGGGUGUUGGCUCCUACGCUGCACACUACUUCUCCUCAGUGGUUGCUUCUAUUCUGGAAAACUUUGGCUUGAGUGAGGAGAUGCACAAUCCUGUAAGUAAUUCAUCCAUCCAAGUAUCAACUAUAGAAUUGGUGAUCGAAUAAUACUUCUUUUUACCCAGCAAACAGCAUGAGAGGCUCUUACGGUAUAUUAUAUUAAUAGAAAUAGAAAAGGAUAAUCAUGGUAUGAUAUGUAAAGGCCACAUGGGCCAGAAGCCACAUGUUACAUCAAGAAUUAAUUAUCCCAAUGCCAUCACAGAAAUGCAUAAUUAUGAAAGCACCGUUGAGUGUGAGGAAGACAUUGUAUUGUCCUUGUCCAUAUUUGUGAUGGACUGACCUAGUUCCUAGGAUACGAUUUAGCCUAGUUUUUGUUCGCCCUUUUGCAUGGUACUAUAUCAUUUGCUAGCAAUCUUCUGACUUCUCAAUUAUUUUUCUUGUCAGAAAUGGUUCACAUUAUUUUGUCUUGUCUAGUAAUAAUACUCAUUUCCACUACUUUGGGUAAUCUUUAAGCUCUUCAAAUAACACAAUGUAUUGAAAUGAAUUAUAGGUGUCAAUCUUCCUGCUGGUAGCAGUUGUCUUGACUGGAGCUGGUUUUGGCUAUUGGAUGGUGAGGAGAUAUAUCAUUUCAAAAGAUGGCUGUGUUGAUGCCGGGAUAGCACAGUUUGUCAAGUGGGCUAUGCGUGUUGUUGGAAUGUUCUUUGUUAUGCAGGUGGUCUUCUUUUCAAAUGCUAAGUAUUCUUCUCAUGCAUCUAUGAGGACUCUGAAUCUCAGUCAGUGCCUACAUCAGAUUUUAUUCUCUUUGAAAUUCAUGUUUGACAUUAUCUUGUAGAGCACACUCGACCCUAUUCUAGCAUUCGCUGCUCUAGCUGCUACCUCGUGGGUUUGCUCUGUAUUGACAACAAAGAAAGUUCACAAGCCAACGGCACCGUGAGUGUCCCUUGAGUUAAUCACUGUUGUGAAUUUGCUGUUGCUAUUGAAGCCCUGAAUAUGCUGAUUCUGCUGCAGGAAGCGAAAACAAUCAAAUGUUUCUUCUCAUCCAAGGUUUACUCAAGUAUCACCGAACACUCGCCAGGUCCAGUUCUUAAGUCCAUCAUCAAGGGCGGGUACUGGAAGAGCCACAACAACACAGUAUGGUUGGAACUAUUUAGCCAAUGGAGGUAUAGUAACCACUAUCAUUGUCUGCAUACUACUGUGAGUCCAGUGUAACUGCCACAACUCGUAAGUCGUAAGUAACCUCAGCAUAUUUAAGGAUGCAAAUUGGUGGAUGCUCCCAUCGCAAAUAUAAAAUAAAAUUGGUGGAUGCUCGGGUGCCCUCUGCCCCCAGCUAGUUCAAUCAAAUGAAGCAUUUUAUUUUUUUGAAAAUACGUGUUUUGGGAAUUUUUACUUCAUUUGAUUGAACUAGUUAGUGUCGGAGGGUACCCAUUUGCAUCCCUGGGCCACAUAUUCUUGUGUUGCUCUCUGCUUGUCUUUGGUAAUUGGUACUAGGAACUAGUAAUGAUGUUUUAGGCAUAUUUAACUCCAGAAAACCUAUAAAACCCUCAACUCUGGCGCAUUGAAGCAUUUGACAUAAUAACUAGCCAACUGUUGUUGUUGUCUUUGCAGGUCUGGCCUCCUCAGCACUGGUAAAGAGGCUAGCACCCAAUCAAGACGAAGACUACUACUCCACCUUCCACAACAUCGAACCACGGAAGUACUCAAAGAGAGAAUGGGAGGAGUUCACCGAGGAAUCGACCAGAAACGCACUGAUGGAGCACACAGCCACCCCAGAGUUUGCCCAAUGGGCUGCUGACAACGCUCACCGGCUGCGGGUGGAGCGGGACGACUCGUCCGAGGACGAGUCGAUUGAGACCUCCUCAGGCUCUUCCGAAGAGGCCGAGAAAGGCGGAAAAGCUUCUAGUCUGUUGGGCAGGUUCAUGUGAUAUCGUCACCCGACUAAAGCUGCUUUUGCGGACGAUGUGUAUAAGGUAGGAUUGGGAACUUGGUAGCAGUAGCUAGUAGGAGGUGGAAGUUCAUCGUCUCCACGCGGUUCGCCAUUGCGGCAGAAUGCUUGGUGACUGUAGGCUGUUAGCUGGUUGGUUAACCACCGUCAUCCAUCUCAAUUCGACAACUGAUGUUAGGUUUAGCCGGCAGUCUGCCAUCCAUGGAUCUUUAAGUUUUAGCCGAUGCAUCAGGGGACAUGGGCCGGUGCCAUUCGAUGGAUUAGGGACCUUCGAUCCUGUCGGGAUCUUGCCAUUGUCUUGUUGAACAUCUCAUGUUUCAUUCUCAGGUGUGAGGGUAGCAUUUCAAGGAUCUUUAUCUGUUGUUAGCCAGGCAUGUAAACCAGAUUGUUUGGGCAUGUAGAUCAACUGGAGUUGGUUGCUGUAAACCGUUCGCUGGACCCACACACACACAAAAAAAACCGUUUUCUGGAAUUCAAGCUCGAGGCAUCCUGCAGAGAGGCGCACACGCUUUACCACUUGGGCUGAAGCAGUUUUUGUGGAAACAUGUACUGUGGAAAUUCUGAACAAUUUUGAAAUUCUUAAACAAAAAUUGAAAUUAUGAAUAUUUUUUUGAGAAUUUAAGCAAAAUUUUAAAUUAUGAACAUCUUUUAGAUUAUUUUUUUGGAAUUCCAAACAUUGUUUGAGAAUUUAAACGAAAUUCGAAUUUCUGAAUAUUUUUUGUGAAUUUAAAUACAUUUUAGAAUUCAAAACAUUUUUUAAGAAUUUAAACAAAAUUCUGAAUAUUUUUUGUGAAUUUAAAUACAUUUUGGAAUUCCAAACAUUUUAUUAGAUUUGCUUUGAAAGUUUGAACAUUUUCUGAGAAUUGAAAGAAAUUUUGAAAAUGUAAACAUUUUCUGAGGUUCGGGGCGAGCAUGGCUGGCCCAUGCACCCUAUCUGGGCAUGCUCUAUCCACUGGGAGGCCCUUUUGCAUGAGAUGUGCAUAGUCGAGGUGAAUCCAUACACCUUGCCAAACAAUAUAAAGCAGGUUCUGCGGAAAAAAAUUAAGCUCAUGUAUCCUCCAUGCAUCCUACCGAGCACACACGAAGUGUUCGCUCGAAGCUGCUCCCUUGACGAACGAAAUCAUUUGAUCGGGUCGGCAGAUGUUAGAGUCCUUUCAAAUUUGUAUUACUUACAAAAGGUAGCAAUGUUCUACUAUUCUCGUUCUUUACUUGUGUUUUUCGUCCUUGGCAAAAAAUAAAGAAAACAAUUCUCCAAAACAUGAUUUUCUUGUGCAGUGAAACAACUCAACAUAAAAAAUCAUAAAUUUAUUUUUCAGAUUCACAGGGGGACAUUGUUUUAAUCAUACCAUCUGGAAAUUUAUAAUUUGCAAAGCAAUGACAGUUUUAUAAAUUAGCAUGACCUUUUCUAUAUUUUUCAUAUCAUGGCAAUUAUACAUUCAUGUUUCCUCUGUUUUUCAUGAGAAAAAAAUGUUUUCUUCUCAUGGCAAUAAUUCAUUUUGUGCUUUCUUGUUUUUUUUAUAAGACAAUGUGUUUUUUGAUCACUGCAUUUGCAAAAACAGUAAACUCGGCCUCUGUAUCAAUAGGGUUCGCCUUGACCCACCCGCGACGAACAAUCGAGGGAGGCGAGACGUUCGCCGGGAGCUGCUCCCCCGGCGAACGAAAUCGUUCGAUCGGCCCUCUCCUCCGGCGACCGGUCGCCAGAUAAUAGAGUGCUUUUUUUCCCUAACAAUCCUAAAAAAAAGAUAUUAGAGUGUUUUAGAAAUUUUGUAGGCACUCCUACUCAUAAAAGGAAAUAAUGUACUACUCCUAUUACUAGUAUUGUACUAAUCCUGUAAUUGUAUUCCAUAAAAACAGAAUCCACGAGUAGUAUUGAGGAGGACGGCGGCGACUGAAUCUCAAUCCUUCUUUGACUCGCGAUAUUCCUCCUCCUCCUCCUCCUCACGAAACCAACACUUGCGUCGCUUUCUCGCCGCCCAAUCCCCGCGUAAACCGCCGGAACCCGAUGCCCUUAUCCGCCCUCUGAUCGAGACUCCUUGGCUCUCGGCGUCGGCAAUCCCACCCCCGAUGGCAUUGCAGAUUGGCGGCGGCGGCGGCGGGUUGCGGGGCCUGAUGCGGCGGAAGCCGGUCGACUCCGACAGGGCCCGCGCCGAGGGGCAGCAGCAGCAGCUCGCCAAGGAGCUCAACGUCCUCGAGCUGGUCGCGAUCGGUGCGGCGACGUCCUUCCCUUCCCUUCCCUCCGCCUUUUUCUGCCCUCUUCUUUUCUGCCCGUAGCGUAUAUCUGUAAUGGAAAAAAGCGAGCCCCUUUUUUUGUGGUUUGGGGACUGCAGGUUUCCUGGUGGAAACGCUCCUGUUUGUACUAAACCCACGGGUCUUGGAUCACCGGAGCCGCUAGAUUAAUUUGGAGGAUUUGCUUUAUUUUUCCAGAUUAUUCUGCUUAUAUGCGUUUCAAUACUUACUUUUGAGAGUUUAUUAUCGGGGUAAAUUGUUUCUACUUAGGACAGACCUUUUCUAAAUUCCUUUGCCAUGGUACUCUGUUCUCCUCUAUGUAAACAAAUUACAGUGAAUAAAAUAAAUCAGCUUUUACAUUAGUAUCUUAAAAAACUGGAUGCUUAUAUUAGCACUUCUAUUUUUGGUACUACGUAGUUGUUUUGUUUCAACCUGUUAACUGGUGCUGAAAUCAGUUCAAAUUCAGAAACAAAAGGGAGGUCCUUGUUGGUUUGGCCACUGGAAGGUGGUCAUCAUCAUACUGCAACCUUGAUUUUGUCGUCAUCUUGUGCAGUAUAUAUACUCAUUAGCUUAAAUCAUAGUUCCGCUCGUGCUGCGUGCUUGUAUGCUGCCUCCUUGCUUAAGCACAAUUGUGGUUGCACAACUAUUCUUAUAAUCUGCUGCAGAAAAGUAUAAUAAAAUAAAACAGCCAUGGAGUAUAAACAUUUUUGUUAGACAAAUAUCUGAUAGACAAAUGGCAUUGGCAAAUAUUUGAGAUUCUAGAUUUAAUGAAGUAUUUUUCCCUACUACAUGCAUUUCUUGUGUGAAUUUUUUAUAUAUAUUGAUUGAAGAUUGUUGAUGAACCCUUGCGUUAUUUACCAGGGGUUGGUUCGACAAUUGGAGCUGGAGUAUAUGUUCUUGUCGGAACAGUUGCCAGGGAGCAUGCUGGUCCAGCAUUGGCAGUUUCGUUCCUGAUAGCUGGAAUAGCUGCUGCACUUUCAGCAUUCUGUUAUGCCGAGCUUGCUAGCCGUUGCCCCUCUGCUGGAAGCGCCUAUCACUAUUCAUAUAUCUGCAUUGGCGAAGGGUAAAAAUUACUGGCCCCAUGGCAUAGAUUGCAUUCUAUACCAUGGUGAAUUCUGUUAUCAUGUUACAUUUAAUAAGAUCUUAUAAGGCCAGCAUGAUCUAACAUGGUUCACACGUUGUAUUUAUCUAGCGUUGCCUGGCUGAUUGGCUGGUCUUUAGUGCUGGAAUAUACUCUUGGCGGAUCUGCUGUUGCCCGUGGCAUAUCCCCCAAUUUAGUGAGUGUCAUCUCUCUUUCUUAGAGCUUUGUCCUGUGCAAGUUUGGUCAAUGCUUCAACUACCACUCUGCUAUAUUCCUUAUUCUGUGAACUUACAUUUCUCUUUUCAGGCCUUGUUUUUUGGAGGACCAGAUAGCUUGCCAUGGAUUUUAGCACGGCAUCAACUUCCAUGGUUUGACAUUAUUGUUGAUCCCUGUGCUGCUGCUCUUGUUCUUGCUGUCACUGCUUUAUUAUGCCUAGGGAUAAAAGAGGUUGGUAUUGCUCAGGUUAUGAGAUUGCUCGUUUCCCCAAAAUAUAGGACCGUCAAUGACUGUUGUAUUUGAAUUUCUUGCAGAGCUCGUUUGUACAAGGGAUUGUGACCAUUCUGAAUGCCUGUGUGAUGCUAUUUGUGAUAAUAGCAGGUUGUUAUAUUGGUUUCCAGAUUGGAUGGGAUGGCUAUAAGGUCACUGACGGGUAUGUACCCUAAAAGCUCGCACAUACUGCAGAGAGGUUGCUAGUGGAAAAAUUUCACGGAGCUAUACUUUUCAGGUAUUUUCCGUACGGAGUAAAUGGAGUGCUUGCUGGAUCAGCAACUGUUUUCUUUGCAUACAUCGGCUUUGACACAGUAGCCAGUACUGCUGAGGAGGUAAGGAGAAGGUCCUACUUAUUGACUUUGUCCACCUCCGCUGAGGAGAUAUUUGACUUUUGUUGUUUUUACUUCUACAGGUGAAGAACCCACAACGAGAUCUACCUCUGGGAAUAGGAGCAGCAUUGUCUAUUUGCUGUUUCUUGUACAUGAUGGUCGCUGUUGUUAUUGUUGGGAUUGUACCGUAUUUUGCUAUGGACCCAGAUACACCUAUUUCAUCCGCCUUUGCAAAACAUGGAAUGCAGUGGGCAAUGUAAGGACUCAAUUCCCUUUUUUUCUAUGCUGUUGGCUAUAAUGGUCAUCUAGCGUGUUUCUGACUGAAUUAUUCACUAUUUUAGGUAUGUUGUCACGAGUGGUGCUGUUCUUGCACUGUGUUCAACCUUGAUGGGCUCACUUCUUCCACAGGUAUACAAACACAUCACUUGGUGUGUGACUCAAACUAAUGAUAAUUAGCAGUCUUCUACCCUACAACAUUUAGUCUAUAUGGAAUUGCCGUACUUGGGGCAGCUACUAUUCCGCAGUACGCAAGCAAACAUAGCCUUGUAGCUAGCUGAAGCUGAGUGACUUUCAAAAUAGUUGCUAAAAUACUUGAGUUUUUCAUCCUCGCAGCCUAGAAUACUGAUGGCCAUGGCAAGAGAUGGACUGUUACCAUCUUUCUUCUCCGACGUGAACAAGCAGACACAAGUACCUGUCAAGGGCACAGUUGUGGCUGGUAUCUGUGCUGCUGCUCUAGCGUUUUUCAUGGAUGUUUCUCAGUUGGCAGGAAUGGUAAGAAAACAUCAAGCCGUUGUCAUUUGCAUAUUUUGAUCUGAUGGUCUUGUACAAAUAAAAAUAACAGUGCUGCAUAGAUUUAAGUAACAUGAAGAGAAAUUUAAACGCUUGAUGGUUUCAGGUCAGUGUGGGCACACUCCUCGCGUUCACCAUAGUGGCAGUAUCGAUCUUGAUACUCAGAUAUGUUCCUCCAGAGGAGGUCCCUCUAUCAUCAUCUCAGCGAGAGUCAAUGGGUUUGAACCAAGAAUAUGAUGAAGAAAAGGGCAGGGAUCCACUUGGAGAUGAGAUCCGCGACACAUCUCAAAUAAAGGAUUUGAUUGUGACAGAACCAAUGAAGGACCCUCUUCUCGAGAAGAAGCAAUACAAAGGUAAUGUGCACAUAGUUGCUUUCAGAUUUAAACUAGUCGUUCCAUUUUCCCCACAAGCAGUGCGUUUUUUAUAACGAAAGCUAACCAAGAUAAAUGGCCUUUCCUUAUAAUAUAUUAGGCACGAUGGAUGAGAUGAAGCGUCGAAAGAUAGCCGCUUUCAGCAUAGGGUCUGUUUGUCUAGGAGUUCUGGUCCUCACGGCUUCAGCUUCUGCCACAUGGCUACCUUUGUAAGUAUGCAUAUAGUUGGGAAAGAGAUAUUCAUAUGCCUCAUUGUUUUUUUUAAAGAAAAUGGAAGCUUUAUUACCCCCAGUCUCUAUAAUUGUGCAGUUUAUUACAAGUCACCAGAAAGUCUUGACAAAUAUAUGUUUGUCUCUUAUUGUCAGCCUACCGCUUUGCAUUGGUUGCAUUGUUGGCGGUGUGCUACUCAUACCUGGUCUUGUUGUACUCUGCUGGAUUGACCAAGAUGAUGGCAGGCACUCUUUUGGUCAUUCUGGAGGUACCUUAAACUGCUUGUCUUUUUUUUUUUCCCAGUUGAAGAGGAUGCGAGUUUCUUUAGGCUGAAAUCUGUCUUUGCUUGCAGGAUUCAUGUGCCCCUUUGUUCCGUUUCUACCUGUUGUGUGCAUCCUCAUAAAUACAUAUCUGUUGAUAAACCUGGGGUAAGUGCACAUAAUUAGAUGCUUACUUCGUUUCCUUUUUUUUCUGUCAAGUAUCCUGAAUAAUCAGUUUCAAUGUGUUUUUCAGCGGUGAUGCGUGGCUGAGAGUCGGGAUAUGGCUGCUGAUAGGUAUUCUCGUCUACAUUUUCUACGGGCGAACCCGCAGCUCGCUAGUCGACGUUGUGUACGCCCCUGUGGCUAAGGCCGAUGCACGCAGGAGUUCAUCUGGUUUCAUGUCCUAGAAAAGAACCGUCACACCGUGGAGCUGACAAAACCUCGCCGGCCCUCAGAUGCUCAUAGAUGUGCAGCCGGAUAUCAGCCAGCCCGGAAGGGCCUGUUGAAUUGUUGGAGCCUAGUCGACGACAGGGUCUGAUUGAUGCAGUUUUUUUGGGGACCGUGCAUGAGAAUGAUCAGCAUACAAAGUAGAGUUUGGAUUGGGUGGUGGCGUGUGUGAUUGUUUGUAAUUCAUUCAUGUAUAAGAGGUGAAAAAGCCCCUUGUACUGGAACGGGUGAAUACUGACUGAAAACAGGUGAUGGAUGGAAUCUUACAAAAUUUGCAACACAAACCAUUUCUUUCAGAGUUUCAAGUGUUAUACAGUUAUUACCAACAACAACAACAACAAAAAAUGUGCAUUUGCUGUUUUGUCUCUGUAUAAAUGUGAACCUUGAAACAAACACGGUGAAGCCGGAACAAAGCAGAAAUGUCUGGAGGUCUGGAUUUUGAAGCAUUGAUAGGUCACUGCUGCAACAAUUUGUGCUUUCUCUCAAAACAAAAACAAAACAAAAACAAAAAACGGAAGUAACUAGCUAGUAUUCCCUGUUGAAUGGAGGAAGGAUCCCUGUGAGGAAGGACUGGAGCAGGUGGCGAAGGUGAACCCUCGGGCGUACUGCUGGACAUAGCCCCCUACCUCGUGCCCGGCUGUCCACGGGCGCCACGGCUCCACGACGGAGAGGUUGAGGUCGCGGACCGUGUACCUCGUGCCGGUGAAGGGGCAAACGGAGUCGAAAUCCCCACUGAAAAUCAUUUCGUCAGUUUCAGCAUCAACCAAUAAGAACGACAUCUUUGUCAUGCAAGAAAGGAAAAGAACAGAAAAUGACGGCAUCUUUGUCCGAUGGUCUGCGAAAUCCUCGUGCCGGCGUACCUGAAGAGCCAUAUGGGCAGGCCGCGGUUGAUUAGCCGUUUCAAGGUUGGCACCAUGGUGUCCGGUGAGUCCUUGAAAUCCUCAAAGGAUCUGCACAGCACAGGGGCAAGUUGAGGAAUGAAAGAAAGAAGAAUGUACAGGCAAGUUGAAGUAGCAGGCUGAUCAAAGCUAAAAUCUUCAACACUGGCUAACCUGCAAUCGAGCCAUUUGGUUUCUCUGGCAUGGAGAGCCUUCUGAACUUGAGGGCUGUUGAGGUAGGCCUUGGUAGGCACAUAGCUGCACGGAUCAUACCCGGGCAACUGAAAAUGAUAAUGCGUGCGCGUGUCCAUAGGGGUGAUUGUAUGUAAGCAUCCACGAUUGUACCGCUUAAAAAGGAAGAAAACAAAUCGAUAAAACUUGCACGUUUUUUGGUUACGUACGUAAGUGCUGGAAUAGUAGGAGCCGUUGGCGUCGAUGAUGCAGGUGGGACCGUAUAUGUUGUCGUGAUCCAGGAUGCCGUCUUGGCAUUCGAUGACGGCAUGGUAGCACCUCACGUUGAUCGAGGAGCGAUCGAUGCUGCAGCUGCUGGCGAUGUCGGCCCAGACCUCGUCGGAGAUGGCACCGUGGCUCCACAGGUACUCGUAGUGCCCUAUGAGGUUCUUCAUCUUGUCGAGGUAAGGGUUGCCGACCAUGAUACCCUUGAGAUUAAUGGUGUUGUUGUUGUUGUUGUUGUUGUUGUUGCUUUUGUUGUUGUUGUUGUGUGCUAAGAUGGUGGCGGCGAGUUGGGGGAUGUAGUGGCCGGCGUAGCUCUCCCCGGUGAUGUACAAGGGGCGCGCCUUGUACUCGGGGAACCUGUCGAGCCAGUUGAGAAGGAAGAUGUAGGCGUCCUGGGCAGCCAUUGGAUCCCCCAUCCUAUCGUAAUCGGAGGAGGUGUUGGAGUAGGAGAAUCCCACACCGGCGGGUGAUUCCAGGAAGAUGACAUUGGCCACUGCAGAUCACAUCUUAUAUAUGUGAUGGAGGCAGAUCGAAUGACAUUCGAAUGACAUUAAUUUCAAAAGGCGGAACGGAAUGGAUGGUCAUUGAAAAUUACCCUUGUUCCAGGCAUGCUUGUUCACCGUGAGGGUUUUUCCAUCCCUGUUUGCACGGAACGGACCCAAUUCUCGCAUCGCUCCGUGGCCGAGCGAUGAGCAUCCAGGCCCUGCUCCACACCAAACCCUUGUGAUGUUGCAACUGUACAAUCACGGUGCAACACAAUUCAACAAUAGAUGUAGCAACCCUUUUUUUAGCAUCUUCCUUACCUCCGUUGAGCCACAGGAGGAGUGGCUUCGCCAUUGCAUCGUCGGGCGAUUCCACGAAGUAGUAGAAGAGAGCACGGCCGUUGUGGCUGUCGACGGUCACGUACCCGCCGUAUUGUCCGAAGUCGACGCCCUCCGGCUGCCCCGGCAGCGCCGUGAUCUUGUCGGACGCCUUUUGAGCGCCGGGGUCGGAGACCGGGUACUCAUCUGUUCGGAGGUCACUGAUGAUUUCGAGAAAUGGCUUGUCAUGUAAACUAGGAUCACUAGUGGUGGUGCUGCUCGUUGUUCUAGAUAAAAGGAAUUUUGUGAGAUGGGCCUCUUGAGAUGCACGGGCGUGCAAUGCCAAAGCGGGAAUAAAAAGCAAAACGUGCAAUGCAGCAGCAGCAAACUUCAUGACCAAUAUCUCGGAUCUCCCCAAUGAUCGUGUGUGAGUGAGAUCGAUGAUGGUGGAAGGUUUUUAUAGGCCAUGGAAGAGUGGAGGUUGUGAUAUAUUUUGCUGGAGCGUAUAUAUGUAUUUAUGACCAAUGCUCCAUAUCAUCUGCACAAUAUCAAAUCCAGAUCUACCAUGAUACUAUGUUUUAUAACUAUACAGAUUGGAUGGGAUUUUCUUUUGUCUCAUAUAUUUACCAGAGAUUUCAUGCUUUAAUUACACUAUACUAUGGGCGCCUCUACGCAUUGGCCGAUGGAUCUUUUUAAAAGAUCCACCGCCUAGCGAGCCGUCAGAUCUGGCGGAUGGAUCGGUUGAGAGUCAUCGUCUACCACUGCAAGACAUAUCGUGUUGCAGAAAAUUUCCACAACGCGGGUUAUGUUGCGGAAAAUUUUGCAACAUAGGUCAACUUAUAGAUUAUUUUUGCAACACACACACACAUAUAUAUCUUGUUUCAGUUUUUUUGCAACAUAGGUAUUGUUGCAUUUUUUUGGCAACGUAGAUUUUGUUAGAAUUUAAUUUGUUUUGUAAUAGAGAUCCUGUUACAUUUUUUUUNNNNNNNNNNGCAAGCAAUGAUCAUGUCGGCCGAAGGAAAGGACUAUGACCCCGGGACAACGGGGCAAAGAUGGACGCAACUCAUCGUGGUGGGCGCGGACGCCGAUGCGUCCACGGGGCGGCGGAUACAGCUUGACGCGGGCGCACCGUGAUAGCUGAGUUCAUGGUGACGGUGAGCGGCAGCGAUGGCACCCACGCCGGCGCGUACUGCCGGCGGCGAGCGUCGAUGGCGGAGGUCAAAGCAGCUCGAGGAGGCAUCGCCUCGAUGGGCAGCUCGGGAGGAGCACGGGUGGCCACUACUCUCAUGAGGAUCCAUAUCCAGAUCCCGCAAUACACCAGUUGUUGCAGUGAAGAAGAUUGCAACAAUGACUCGGUUGCUAAAUCUAAUGUACGCAAUAUGUUGCUCCUAGCCAUCUGACUAAAAUCAGAUCCAACACCAUGAAGACAACGCAAGCGCACGUCGUUAUCCGUCGGAUGAUCCUAAUCAUUUCCCUUAUACAAUCAAAAAACUAUAAAUACAUCAAGCUAGUGGUAUCAAACAUCUACUAUAAUUAAAAAAACCAAAUAUGCAUACUAUUAUAUUUUGUGCCAAUUCUGCACCAUACCUUCUCUUUCCUUCAAAUACGCAUGCAACCAAAAAUAUCAAACAAUGCAAGCGUGCCAACAUUGAGAUUUUUUUUUCUUUUGGAUUUUCAGUAGUUUUCUCAACGGUGUAUUGAUCGACGAUCAGUUUCAACAUUCAUUUUGUUAUGACUAAUCUAUAAAAUUAGAUCACACAUUGAUAUGUUUUAACUUUUACUAGUAAUUACCAUGCUAUAGCCGCUUGUUUACUAGGUUAUACCAUGUUAUAGUCACUAAUUGUUUACUAUGUUAUAAUAAGAGCACUAGCAACAGCUUUCAAAAAAAAAAAAACCUUCCCUGUAAGUGUUUAUUAGGGCUUUUCCAACAAAUGUAUUGGGUUUAACAGGAUAAUCAAACUUGUAGUCAGGGUACAUCUUCUUGAUGCAGAGACCGAAAGCGUAAUGUUAUUCAUUAGAUGAAAUAUGUGCUCUCACAAUUAUGAAACUCGGCUACAAGACAUGAGAUUAGAACAUCUCAAACGGAGAACAAAAACUACGCCUUCCCGUAAGGCGGUAGCAUCCCUUUUAGAAAAUAUCACUUAUGAAAUAUGCCACUAGAAUUUCGCAAUACACACACAAAUGCCACCGUGAUAUUAUACCGAACUAAAAAAAAAGUGAUGUACAACGGCAAGAAUGGAAAGUGUUGGAUCGGUGAGGGGAGCUAGCGGGAAGAGUGGGCACAAGCACAACAUGAUUUCGCUCUCACUAUUCUUCUUUAUCUGCUCCUGAUGUUUACUCUUUCUAUACCUUGUUGUCCCUACCUACAAAUAUUUACAUACAGAGAAAGUAUAAAGCAAAAUAAACUUGUAUAUAUGGUUUAACAUCAAGAUCAAAUGAAACAACAUACCUAUGAUACCUAGUUGUCCCUAACUAUAAGUAUUUAGAUACAAAGAAAGUAUAAAGCAAAAUAAACUUGUAUAUAUGGUUUAAUAUCAAGAUCAAAUGAAACAACAUACCUAUGAUACAAAAAAGACUAAAAAAAGUGCACCAGCAAUCUAUUCUACCACUAGAACCCGGGUCUGUACCGUGGCAGGGUACUAUUCUACCACUAGACCACUGGUGCCUCCAUGACAAACUUAUUUGAAAACUUUAUGAGAAAAUCGUAUAGCAAUCGGAAAACCAGGCAGUACGCAUGUCAGUUCAGUAAUGCUGAUCAACUAAUACACGUGCACAUACGACAUUGUAGGCCUAGGUACGUGUAGGAGACGGAGGGACGCCAACACCUGUCACAAAGAAAGUGGUGAACUGCAGAUUGAACGUCUAUUCUUGACAGGGCACAUGAACCAUUCCCAGCAUCAAUUACUGCCAGAGCUUUCCUAAUCUUAUUCAUGGACGAUUUGUUGAUCUAAGUUCACUAAAAAAAAANNNNNNNNNNAAAGGCCGAUAUCCGAUCGACAAAGGGCUUCGCCUAGUGUUACACUUCGCAAAGCCUACCCUACAUACAUACCCUUUUUCCGGGUCAUUAGAUAUAGGAUAUCACCCUAGCCUCUAUAGUCAUAUCGCGGCCAACGAGCUCCGCCUCUUGUGCUACGUCUUCUACUCUUCUUUGACGUGCCCACAACUAUGUUUUUCGUUGAGGUUUCUAUUUUCAAUCAUCAGGUUUGCCAAGUGUUUACCGGACAGUUUCUGUCGACUUUCAUCGCUGGCUUUCACACAAUGAGCCCGAGUGGAUCUUAGUGGCGUGGCGUGCAAGGAAAAGAAGUGUAUGUGCAAACAAGAUCAUGUUCGUCGUGUGUGCAACGAAGGCAUUGACACGAGGAGAAGAUAUUUCGAGAUUUGUUGUCACAGUUUCUAUGUGAUUGAGUAGGUAUAAAUGAAAAUUAACCAAUUUGUGUUUCUUGUAAUUAAUGCGCAUAAGUUAACGAAGUUGUUAAUCAAUUUUUUUAACACGGUACAACUAAAAUCAUACACAUACAUGAAUAUACACGUAUUUUUAUGAUUGUACGCACAUGCAUCCUACUUCUAUGAACACCUUCGAAAGACUGAACCGAUAUGACAUUUUAAGAUUUUACGAAGUCAUCUUCUAACCAUCCAAUCACAAAUCCUUAUCAGCUAGUAAUACAUGAUAGUUUUACUAAAAAAAAAACUAAUUCAUGGUAGUUUUAGGCACGUUUCCAACAAAAAGGAAAGGCAAAAGGUAGUUCAAUUCUAGGCACGCAUGGAAGUUUCAUACACUUGGCUACUGUUAUUAUAUUAAUAAAAAGAAAAUGAAGGAUUAUUGGCAUGAAAAUUCGGGUCCUGAUCGAUCCGAUCCGGUAAACAGGCUUGCAUCCACGCGCUCUUCUUCUUCUUCUUACGUUGGAUUCGAUCCGAUGGAGGGAUUCGCGCGUGCAACCAACAUGCAUGGCAUUGGCAUUGGCAUCGGCAUGCCGCGCGAUCUCCAAAUCCUGACAACCGUGCUGGCGCUGCUGAUCCUCUCGUUCACCGCCGCCGUGCCUCCGCCGGAGCCGGACCCAUGCGCCGGGCGGCGCAUCCACGUCCGUCGCCUCCCGGCGCGCUUCAACACGGACCUCCUCCGGCACUGCGACGGCGCCUUCCCGCUGGCCGACCACCCGUCCGCCACGCCGUCCUGCGCCUCGCUCGCCAACCACGGCCUCGGCCCGCGCACCCACAACCGCUCCCGGUCGUGGUACCGCACCGACGCGCGCCUCCUCGAGCCCUUGUUCCACCGCCGCCUCCUCGACCGCGGCGCCUGCCUCGCCGACGACCCCGCCCGCGCCGACGCCGUCUUCCUCCCCUACUACGCCUCCCUCGACGCGCUCCCCUUCCUCCUCGACCCCGCCAUGCUCAACUUGUCCGCCGCCCACGGCGCCCCGCUCGCCGACUUCCUCAAGCGCGACCGCCCGCGGAUCCUCGAGCGCCGGCACGGCCACGACCACUUCCUCGUGCUCGCCGGCCCGGCCUGGGACUACGCGCAGCCGCCGGACACCGACCCCAGGCUCUGGGGCACCACCUCGCUGCUCCGCCACCCCGAGUUUGACAACUUCACCUUCCUCACGCUCGAGUCCCGCGCGUGGCCGUGGCAGGAGCACGCCGUGCCGCACCCGACGUCCUUCCACCCGUCGUCGCUCCCGCGGCUCCGCGCGUGGCUCGCCCGCGCGCGCCGGUCGCGCCGCACGGCGCUCAUGCUCUACGCCGGCGCCGUGUCCAAGCCGUCGCGCCCCAACAUCCGGGGCUCCAUCCUGGCCGAGUGCGCCAACCGCACGGACAGGACGUGCACCGUCGUGGACUGCUCCGGCGGGUCCUGCGACCUCAACCCGGUGCGGUACAUGCGGGCCAUGCUGAAGGCGAGGUUCUGCCUGGAGCCGCCGGGGGACACGCCGACGCGGCGGUCGACGUUCGACGCGAUCGUGGCCGGGUGCGUGCCGGUAUUCUUCGAGAACGCGUCGGCGAGGACGCAGUACGGGUGGCACCUGCCGCCGGGGAGGUACGACGAGUUCUCGGUGACCAUACCCAAGGACGCGGUGGUGCUGGGGGGCGUGCAGAUCGCGGAGACCCUGGCGGCGGUGCCGGAGGAGGAGGUGACGAGGAUGCGGGAGCGACUGCUGGAGCUGGCGCCGAGGGUGGUGUACCGGCGGCACGGGAGCGCGGCGGAGGGGAUGGGCAUGGACGCCGCGGACAUCGCCGUUGAGGGCGCGCUGCGGAGGAUACGGAGGCGGGUGCGCGCUCUAGAGGAUGGACAGCCGGAGGCCAUGUACGCAAUGGACGACGACAACCAAGAGAUCUAAUUAUCCCUCUGUCUAUUAUGAAAGCGGAGGGAGUAGCCAAAGUGUAUUCCUGGAAGAAUCCGAUUCUAAUACUUCCUUCGAGUUCUUAAAUAUAAGUCUUUUUAAGAGAUUUCAUGGUUUACAUACGAAACAAAAUUAAUGAAUCUACAUUCUAAAAUAUGUCUAUAUACAUUUAUAUAUAGUCCAUUAGUGGAACCUAUAGAAAGAUUUAUAUUUAAAAACGGAAGGAGUAGUAAAUAAGGUUGUGAGUAUUGCUUGUUCUUGGUGGACUGGGAUCAACAAGUCGUUCAUGCAAAGUGCCUUUAUUUCUGAAAAACUAAUACUCCUCCGUUUCUAAAUACAAGUCUUUUGAAAGGUUUUAUUACUAGGUGACUAUAUAGAAAGCAGAAUGAGUGAAUCUAUAUCUUAAAGUAUGUCUAUAUACAUUUGUAUGUAGUCUUCCAAUGAAACCUCUGAAAAGAAUUAUAUUUAAGAACGGAGGAAGUAUGUGAUAAUGCUCUUAUUGCGUUUGACUGUAUGCAUUCGUUGAGUACUCUUAAGGGCAUCUCCAAUGGUCGUAUGAUCAUCAUUGGUAAAAUUGUCACGCGGAUGAUUUUGAUGACAUGGCGUAUAAUAAAAGAAGAGAGAGAAUGACAUCGUAUGAACUUGAAGCAACGGUUCACGCACAAGCUCCGAGGCUAUCAUGGUUAUUUCUUCAAUAUUUAGUGGACCCGCUCAGUUAUUUUACAUACAAUUAACAAACACUCCAUUGAAGAGCUUGUAUGAUGUGUUGUUGGUUAUUGACGUGGACACUUAUACCAACGAUUGAACAUACGGACUGUUGGAGAUGCUCUAAGGAUGGAUCGGGAGAACCUGUCAUCGCUCCCUACGAAGUAGAUGUGAUCCAAUCCGGAGUGUUUGGCGCGCCUACCGGUGGAGGUCCAGUGGCCUGCAGCGGUAGAGUAGACGUUGCACAUGACGACAUGAUUAUCACUAUGAAUGACGGCGCACGUCACCCUGCAGUUUGACAUGCUGAGGCCCGCACCGGUGCCUGUGUUCUCGUCAUCAAUGAAGAAGGCGCCUAGUAAAUCGCACCUCUUGAACCACACCGCAGGAGCGAUCACCUUGCUGAUCCGCGUCAGGGGGUCGCAGAUGAGGAGACCUUCGUCAAAAGACACGGAAGUGACGAGGAGGAGGAGGAGGAGGACGCCCCGGAUGUCGAGAAGCUCCCAGCGACGAUCCUUCCAUACCCCCCGGGGGAGGUAAUCGAGUGGCAUAUUCCAUCGCAGGGAGGAGGAGACGAAGACAGGGUUAGCGCGAGGUGGGCGCUGCUGCGGCUGGCGGGCGUAGAUGCGGUAGGUGUCGUGGGCGGAUAACGCGACGUGGAGUUUGUCACUUGGUGUUUCUUUCCCAGGGACUAGACUUUUUUUUACUCACAUGAGACUGAUACAUCUCUAACGUAUCUACUUUUCCAAACUCUUUUGCCCUUGUUUUGGACUAUAAUUUGCAUGACUUGAAUGGAACUAACCUGGACUGACGCUGUUUUCAGCAGAAUUGCCUUGGUGUUAUUUUUGUGCAGAAAUCAAAGUUCUCCAAACGUCCUGAAAAUUUACGGGGAGCAGUUUUGGAAAAUAUCAAAAAUAUCUGCGCCAAGUUCCACCUCAGGGGGUGGGCCAGUGGGCCACAAGCCCCUGCUCCGCCACCACCCCCUUGGUGGCGGUGGGCAGGCUUGUGGGGCCAACAGGCACCUACCGCCCCCAACUCCAGCUCUAUAAGUUGCCUUUCGUCCUAGAAAAAAUAAAAAGAGAAGUUUUCGUCGCGUUUUCGAUACGUAGGCACCGCCACCUCCUGUUCUUCAUCUGGAGGGCAGAUCUGGAGUCCGUCUUGGGCUCCGGAGAGGGGAACUCGUCGCCAUCGUCAUCAUCAGCCUUCUUCCCUCUCCAAUUCCAUGAAGCUCUUCGUCGUUCGUGAGUAAUCUAUUCGUAGGAUCGCUGGACGGUGAUGAGUAGGAUGAGAUCUAUCAUGUAAUCGAGUUAGUUUUGAUGGGGUUUGAUCCCUAGUAUCUACUAUGUUCUGAGAUUUGAUGUUGCUACUACUUUGCCAUGCUUAAUGCUUGUCACUAGGGCCCGAGUGCCAUGAUUUCAGAUCUGAAAUUAUUAUGUUGUCACCAAUAUAUGUGUGUUUUAGAUUCGAUCUUGCAAGUUGUAGUUACCUACUAUGUGUUAUGAUCCGGCAACCCCGGAGUGACGACAACCGAAACCACUCCCGGUGAUGAUCAUAGUUUGAGGAGUUCAUGUGUUCACCAAGUGCUAAUGCGUUGGUUCGGUUCUUUAUUAAAAGGAGAACCUUAAUAUCCCGUAGUUUCCUUUUGGACCCCGCUGUCACGGGAGGGAUGGACAAUAGAUGGCAUGCAAGUUCUUUUCCCUAAGCACGUAUGACGACACACGGAAUGCAUGCCUACAUCACAUUGACGAGCGGGAGCUAGCCACUUAUCUCUCCGUGUUAUAGAUGUUGCAUGAUGAAUAUCAUCCAAACAAAUCACCGACCCAUUGCCUACGAGUUUGUCCUACUAUUGCUACUGCUGUUACUUGUCUUGCUCUGCUGCUGCUGCUACUACUGUUGCUAUUGCUGUUACUUGUUUUGCUAUGCUGCUACUGUUGCUACCACUGUCGCUUGCUACUGUUGCUACUUGCUACCGCUGUCACUAUUGUUGUUCCUUGCCAUUGCUAUUGCUCGUUACACUGCUGCUACCUGCUAUACUGUUGAUUCGUCUGACCAUUGACGGGAAUUGACAACUUCCGUCAACGCGGCAACGGAAGCGCCAUUGAUACAAUCGUUACGAAUAGUCUGCCGUCAACAGAUCGUUUCUGACACCGUUGUUAUCAUAUUACUUUGCUGUUACUACUGUGCUUGCAGAUACUAAUCUUUCAGGUGUGGUUGAAUCUGACAAAUUCAGCUGCUAAUACUUGAGAGUAUACUCUCACCUCCUGACGGGCUUACCAACAAAUUGGGUCGAAUACUCUACCCUCGAAAACUGCUGCGAACCCACGCGCUGGUGGGCCAUCAACAACAUUCUUCCAGUUUCAUUGACGGGGAGUGCUAGCAGCAUUCUUCUGGUGCCGUUGCAGGAGAAGGUUCGUUGCCAUAAGCAUUCGUCUAGCUAACGCCAGAGAUUGCAGGAUCAGCCCUUUUCUGGAGCCAUUGCCAGGGAAGCAAAGCUGACGUCAGCAUUUUUCUGGCGCCGUUGCCGGGGAGGUAUUGCUAUAUUCUGUGAGUCACUUGGGAUUUAUAUCUGCUGAUCACUAUGAAGAAUCUGAAGGAUCCGAAGACCAAAGUCUUGCCCUCAACUACGAGGGGAGGUAAGGAAUUGCCAUCUAGCUCUGCACUUGAUUCACCUUCAGUUAUGAGUAAGUUUGCGACUUCACCUCCUGCUACAAAUCUUGAUAUGUCGCCUGUGCUUGAUGAUGCUUGUGAUACUAUGCCUGAUGAUACUAUGCUUGAUACUAUGCCUGAUACUGCUAGAGAUGCUAUGCCUGAUACUUCUAGAGAUGCUAUGCUUGAUACUGCUUUGCCUGAUGAUGCUAGAGAUGCUAUUUUGCCUGAUGAUGCUAUGCUUGAUACUGCUACAGAUGCUCCUUUGCCUGAUGUUCCACUAGGAGUGUUCCUUGAUGCUCAUAUUGCUAGAGUUACUGCCAAUGCUCGUGAUGCUUCUGAAAUUGCCGAUGCUAUUGAGAUAGAACCUUCUUUUGCUCCUGCUAGAUCUAGCUCUCCUAGAUAUGAAUUGCCUGAUAUACCUAAGGGUUACGUUAUGGAGGGAGAGAUAGCUGAGGAUUUUCCAGCGUGUAAGGAUGCCUAUGACGCUGAGAAAUUAAUUCUCAAGUGGAAGGAAAAAUCUCGGGAAGUUAGGAUGAAAAAUGAUCCGAAGUUUGCCACUUCGCCUAUCUUUGUCACCGAUAAGGAUUAUGAAUUCUGUGUCGACCCUGAGAUAAUCUCUCUAGUCGAAUCUAAUCAUUUUCACGGUUAUGAGUCUGAGACGGUCAUAGCCCAUCUUGCCAAACUAUCCGAAAUAGCCAACCUUUUCACUAAUGAGGAGAAGAUCCGCCACUACUAUAUCCUUAAGCUAUUUCCUUUCUCUCUAAAGGAUGAUGCUAAAGCCUGGUUCACCUCUCUUGCUCCUGGAUGUGUGCGUAGUCCCCAGGAGAUGGUCUAUUACUUCUGUGAGAAAUAUUUCCCUGCCCAUAAGAAGCAAGCUGCCUUGCAGGAAAUAUACAACUUUGCUCAACUCCAAGAAGAGAGUCUUCCACAAGCUUGGGGGAGGCUCGUCCAGCUACAGAAUGCUUUGCCUGAUCACCCUCUCAAGAAGAACAAGAUACUUGAUAUCCUCUAUAACGGACUUACCGAUGCCUCUAGAGACUACCUAGAUAGUUGUGCCAGUUGUGUUUUUAGGGAACGAACUGUAGAACAAGCUGAGACCGUGCUGAAUAACCUCUUGAUCAACGAUAAUGCUUGGACUAUUCCCGAACCACCUCCUAAGCCAACUCCUAAGAAAAGAGGUAUUAUAUUCCUCAGUCCCGAAGAUAUGCAAGAAGCCAAGAAAUCUAUGCAAGAGAAAGGCAUUAGAUCUGAAGAUGUCAAAAAUCUACCACCUAUCUAAGAGAUCCACGGUCUCGAUAACCCGAUACAGGUAGUAGAAGUGAAUUCUCUGCGUAGGUUUGACGAGAGUGAUAUUCCUUUUGAUAAACCUGCUAGCCUAUGCUUUGAUGAAUUUGACAACUUUGUUGCCAAAUAACAGAGUUUCAAUGAUUAUGUUAGCAAACAUUUGGAACAAAGUACUUGUAUGCUUCGCCAUUCAAGUGCUUGUGUAGACAGAAAUGUCAAUGCUCUCAAGCUUCUGAGUAAACAUGCCUCUAUGAUUAUUAAUCAGGUAGAACAAGUACUUAAAGCUCAGAAUGACCUGCUCAAUGAAUUAAAUGACAACUCUGUCAGAGUCAUUACUAGAGGAGGCAAAAUGACUCGGGAACCUUUGUAUCCUGAAGGUCAUCCUAAGAGAAUUGAUCAAGAUUCUCAAGGAAUCAAUGCUGAUACACCUAGUCAUCCUAAGGAGAAGGAGAAGGAUGAUAGAAACCUGCACGCCAGUUCACCAAAUACUAUCACACCUGAAGAACCUAAUGAUAUUUCUGCGUCUGAUGCAGAAACACAAUCAGGUGAUGAACAUGAACCUGGUGACAAUGUGGACAGUGAUGUUCAUAAUAAUGCUCAACCUAGCCAUGAUGAGGAUGUGGAGAUUGAACCUACGGUUAAUCCUGAUAAUCCACAACCUAAGAGAUACGACAAGAAUGACUUUACUUCUAGGAAGCAUGGUAAAGAAAGAGAGCCAUGGGUUCAGGGACCUAUGCCCUUUCUUCCUAAGCAAUCCAAGAAAAAGGAUGAUGAGGAUUUUGAGCGCUUCGUUGAGAUGAUAAGACCCGUCUUUCUGCAGAUGCGGUUAACUGAUAUGCUCAAGAUGUCUCCGUAUGCCGAGCACAUGGAAGAUAUUGUGACUAAUAAACGGAAGAUACCAGAUCUUGAGAUCUCCACCAUGCUUGCCAAUUACACUUUCAAGGGUGGAACUCCUAAGAAACUUGGUGAUCCCGGAGUGCCCGCUAUACCUUGCUCCAUUAAAGGAAACUACGUAAGAACUGCCUUAUGUGACCUUGGAGCCGGUGUUAGUGUUAUGCCGCUCUCUCUUUAUCGUAGACUUGAGUUGGAUAAGUUGACACCCACUGAAAUUUCUCUGCAAAUGGCCGACAAAUCAACUGCUUUCCCUAUCGGCGUUUGCGACGAUGUGUCUGUUGUGGUUGCUAACACCACUAUCUUAACAGACUUUGUUAUCUUGGAUAUUCCCGAGGACGAUGCCAUGGUUGUCAUCCUCGGAAGACCCUUUUUAAACACUGCAGGGGCUGUUAUAGAUUGCAACAAAGGCAAUGUCACUUUCCAUGUCAACGGUAAUGAGCACGCAGUGCACUUUCCGAAGAAACGAUAUCCAGUACAUUGCAUCAAUGUUAUUGAAAAGACUUCAUCGAUUCUUAUUGGGAGCUUUGAAUGCCCUAUUCCUCGUGUCAAGAUGAAGUAUGAUUUGCUUGUUGGGGAGAUACAUAUCCCCAUUGAGGUGACUUAGUGGCUAUUCGAAAAUUCUCCGUUCUCUCUUGCGAUUCGAGAAAAUUUUGUCAUAAGGACUUGAUCAACCCCAUUGACGGAUUUCUUUCGAUGACCAUGAGACGGAUGAAUCAAAGAGUCACAUACCUCUGUUUUGAAUCUUCAUUUUCUGUUGCUUAGAAGAAAAUGAUAAGAUUACUUUAUUUUUUCAUGUUUUCUGUUCUAGCGUCCCGGAGAAAAAUACCUCGAAAAUAAAAGUUCUUCGAUGGUCCUGAAAAAUUAGUAUGAUUUUUUCUGGAAUUUUUGAAAAUUUCUGGGCCUAAGAGCUGGUCAGGGGGGCUGACCAGUGGGCCACAAGCCCCCCCCCCCACCGCCACCUACCCCCUAGUGGCGGGGUGCAAGCUUGNNNNNNNNNNNNNNNNNNNNNNNNNNNNNNNNNNNNNNNNNNNNNNNNNNNNNNNNNNNNNNNNNNNNNNNNNNNNNNNNNNNNNNNNNNNNNNNNNNNNGCUAACCGUUAGCCAUAGUAGUAGUGAUAGUAGUAGUUGGCGUGACGACUUCACGGAGACACGAUGAUGGAGAUCAUGAUGAUGGAGAUCAUGGUGUCACGCCGGUGACGAUGAUGAUCAUGCGAUGCCUGAAGAUGGAGAUCGAAAGAGCAAAGAUGAUAAUGGCCAUAUCAUGUCACUAUAUGAUUGCAUUGUGAUGUUUAUCAUGUUUUACAUCUUAUUGCUUAAAACGACGGUAGCAUAAUAAGAUGAUCCCUCUUAAAAUUUCGAGAACGUAUUCCCCUAAGUGUGCACCGUUGCGAAGGUUCGUUGUCUCGAAGCACCACGUGAUGAUCGGGUGUGAUAGAUUCUAACGUUCGCAUACAACGGGUGUAAGUCAGAUUUACACACGCGAAACACUUAGGUUGACUCGACGAGCUUAGCAUGUACAGACAUGACCUCGAAUACAAGAGACCGAAAGGUCGAACAUGAGUCGUAUGGUUGAAUACGAUCAGCAUGAGUUGCUCACCAUGCUGACUAGUCCGUCUCACGUGAUGAUCGGACACGGGUUAGUCAACAUGGAUCAUGUAACACUUAGAUGACUAGAGGGAUGUCGAUUUAAGUGGGAGUUCAUACUUAAUUUGAUUAAAUGAACUUAAUUGUCAUGAACUUAGUCUAAAAGUUGUCUUUAUAAAUAUUAAAGAUGUCCAACGUCAACCUCAACUUCAACGCAUUCCUAGAGAAAAACAAGCUGAAAGAUGAUGGUAGCAACUAUGCGGACUGGGUUCGCAACGUGAAGCUCAUCCUUGAAGCAGCUAAAAAGGCUUAUGUCCUUAAUGCGCCGUUAGGUGACCCUNNNNNNNNNNNNNNNNNNNNNNNNNNNNNNNNNNNNNNNNNNNNNNNNNNNNNNNNNNNNNNNNNNNNNNNNNNNNNNNNNNNNNNNNNNNNNNNNNNNNGGGACACUUGUGAUCUAUUCAUUCACACAUGUAUUACUGUUUCCUGUUAAUACAAUUAUAGCAUGAACGAUAGACGAUUAUCAUGAACAAGGAAAUAUGAUAAUGACCAUUUUAUUAUUGCCUCUAGGGCAUAUUUCCAACACCAUGAUCAUCUAUUGACUAACGAGCUAGCCAACUAGAGGCUUGCUANNNNNNNNNNNNNNNNNNNNNNNNNNNNNNNNNNNNNNNNNNNNNNNNNNNNNNNNNNNNNNNNNNNNNNNNNNNNNNNNNNNNNNNNNNNNNNNNNNNNNNNNNNNNNNNNNNNNNNNNNNNNNNNNNNNNNNNGGUCUGCAAUAUUCAGAUCCGUGUGUACUUUACAAAUAUCUAUCACUCCACUCUAGACAUGGUCCUGGAUGGAGUUGUAGCGGCGCUUGAUGUGCUUCGUCUUCCGGUGAAACCUGGGCUCUUUGACUAUGGCAAUGGCUCCAGUGUUAUCACAGAAGAGUGUCAUAGGACCCGACGCGCUUGGAACCACUCCAAGGUCGGUGAUGAGCUCCUUCAUCCAAAUUCCUUCAUGAGCCGCUUCUGAAGCAGCUAUGUACUCCGCUUCACAUGUAGAUGUUGCCACGACUUCUUGUUUGCUGCUACACCAGCUCACUGCCCCACCAUUCAACACAUAUACGUAUCCGGUUUGUGACUUAGAUUCAUCCGGAUCUGUGUCGAAGCUAGCCUCGACGUAACCCUUUACGACGAGCUCUUCGUCACCUCCAUAAACGAGAAACAUUUCCUUAGUCUUUUUCAGGUACUUCAGGAUAUUCUUGACCGAUGUCCAGUGUUCCGCACCGGGAUUACUUUGGUACCUCCCUACCAAGCUUAUCGCAAGGUUUAUAUCAGGUCUGGUACACAGCAUGGCAUACAUUAGAGAGCCCACGGCUGAAGCGUAGGGGAAAUAACUCAUCUUCUCUCUAUCUGCUGCCGUGGUCGGCGACUGAGUCUUANNNNNNNNNNUCAAUCUCAUACCUUGCAAAACUGGCAAGAACCCUUUCUUUGAGUUUUCCAUAUUGAACUUCUUCAAUAUCUUGUCAAGGUAUGUACUUUGCGAAAGACCUAUGAGGCGUCUCGAUCUAUCUCUAUAGAUCUUGAUGCCUAAUAUGUAUGCAACUUCUCCAAGGUCCUUCAUUGAAAAACUCUUCUUCAAAUAGGCCUUUAUGCUCUCCAACAUCUCUAUAUCAUUCCCCAUCAAUAAUAUGCCAUCCACAUAUAGUACGAGGAAAGCUACAGAGCUCCCACUCACUUUCUUGUACAGACAGGCUUCUUCGUAAACCUAUAUCAUUCCCCAUCAAUAUAUGGAUUCAGUGUGUAUUUUAAAACUUUUGCUAAGAGUGAAAUAAUUAUGUGCGUAAUAUUUUUGUUUAUGUGAUAAUUUGUCAACACCGUAGAUAUAUGACUCAUGAUAUGUAUAUGCAUGCAUUAUGUAUUUUAAAAAAAUUGCUAGCAGGAAAAAGAUUAUGUGUGUAGUAUUUUUGUUUAUAUGAUAAUAGGUCGAAUUCGCUGAUAUUAUACUGGUGAUAUUUUGUAUUCGGAAGGAUAUCAUUAUUAAACCAGAGGUAUGAAUGAUAUAUUGUAAUUUAUCUUGUAUUUAUUUUGUAGAUUUAGUGUCGCGACAAAUGGUAUAAUAUAAAUUAUUAUGCGUAGAUGUACAGUCGUCUGUGAGUAUUUGUUAAAUUGUUAUAUGUAAAAAAAGAUAAGUAAUAGAUGUUAUUACAAUAUAAAUAUAAUAAUAUGAUGAUACAAUAUAAAUUAUUAUGCGUAGAUGUACAGUCAUUUGUGAAUAUUUGUUAAAUUGUUAUAUGUAAAAGAAGAUGAGUAAUGUAUGUCAUUACAAUAUAAAUAUAAUAAUAUGAUUUUUAAUGGACCGAGGAUGUAAAUAUGACUGCUCGUUAGGUACUAUGAAAAUUUUGUUAGUGCUUUAUGGGCACAUCGUACGUGAGGGUCCUUCUGGUGUGGAUGUGUCUAUGUGAGGGAUGAGUAAGGUUGUAGUAAGACACAUGGUUAAUGUAGAGUAUGGGACAGUUAGAAGGUGCAUCCGAGCGGUGUUUGGUUCAACGAUGAAUGGGAAAAAAUGACCAUGGAGGCUUUCGUGGUUGAGGGAGGAAAUCGUUGGGUUCUGCGGCGGGUUACUGGUGAAAGAGCAUGGGCGUCGUACAUGGUUUUUGCAAGCAAUCCCAAUAACUCCAUGUAUGGACAACCCAUGAUUUAUGUGGAGUUCAUUUCUGCCAGUGAUGUCGCCGAGUGCAGUAGCGGUGCCGAUGAGGCCGAGUUGGCCAUAACUGUAGCCCCCGACGCCGGCCCAUCGGAACCAACGGGUGGCCAACAAGUGGCCAUAAUUGUAGCCCCGACGCAAGUGGCCAUAAUUGUAGCCCCCGACGUCGGCCCAUCAGAACCAACAGGUGGCCAACAAGUGUAUGACACAGGAUAUUGGUCUGCGGUCGUUGACAUGAGCGAACAUGUCGAGGGAUUGCCGGAGGCGCUAGAUGAUGACGAUGAUGGUCAUUCUUCUGCCUCUUCGAAAUCAAAUGAUGAUGAAGUUGUUCCUCCUGAGAAGGCGGUUGCUGCACCAAUCAAUCCAGAGUUUUUACAGGUUAUGAGCAUCAUCAAUGAAUUUCACUCUGUUGCUGGCUUAGAAGCGGGAAGUCUGGCCGUUGGGCAGAUUUUUUCAGAUAAGAAAUCUGCUAAACAAGCAAUACAUUGCUAUGCAAUUGACAUACACAUGCAACAUAGAGUGAAUCAGUCUAAUAAAAAGAAGUUGAAGCUCAUAUGCAUCCAUCGCGAAGCGGGUUGCCGCAUAAUAGACAUUGCUCGCCAGAAGCCUGGGGUAUGUGAGCCAUGGCAUAUUACAAAAAUAGAGCAACAUGGCUAUGAGCAAACCGGCACUCUUUCAAAGCACCGCAAUGAGACUGCAAUAUAUGUGUAACAGGUCAUAAAGAUACACGUAGGUGAAAUUAAGAUACACAUUGCGGAAAUGAAGAUACAACUUGCAGAAAAAAGAUACACAUUGCUGAAAAUAAGAUACAACUUGCCGAAAUUAAGAUAUAACUUGCAGAAAUUAAGAUAUAACUGACAGAAAUUAAGAAAGAAUAAAAUAAAUCUACUGAGUCCAACGUGGAUAUUUUCCUUUUCCACCACCAGCUUCUUCUGCUGCCUUGGCCGCACGAGCCCUUUCUUUCUUUCUCUCCUUCUCAGCAUCACGGGGCUCCUGCCGCUGUGUGUAAACCUCCGCCNNNNNNNNNNNNNNNNNNNNNNNNNNNNNNNNNNNNNNNNNNNNNNNNNNNNNNNNNNNNNNNNNNNNNNNNNNNNNNNNNNNNNNNNNNNNNNNNNNNNAGGAUCAAGAAACCCGAGAUCAUCGUCGAGCUGUACGUGUGCUGAACGCGGAGGUGCCGUCCGUUCAGUACUAGAUCGUGGGACUGAUCGCGGGAUUGUUCGCGGGGCGGAUCGAGGGACGUGAGGACGUUCCACUACAUCAACCGCGUUCUCUAACGCUUCUGCUGUACGAUCUACAAGGGUACGUAGAUCACUCAUCCCCUCUCGUAGAUGGACAUCACCAUGAUAGGUCUUCGUGCGCGUAGGAAAAUUUUUAUUUCCCUUGCGACGUUCCCCAAAAGUGGCAUCAUGAGCUAGGUUCAUGCGUAGAUGUCUUAUCGAGUAGAACACAAAAGUUUUUGUGGGCGGUGAUGUGCGUUUUGCUGCCCUCCUUAGUCUUUUCUUGAUUCCGCGGUAUUGUUGGAUUGAGGCGGCUUGGACCGACAUUACUCGUACGCUUACGAGAGACUGGUUUCAUCGUUACGAGUAACCCCCUUUGCUCAAAGAUGACUGGCAAGUGACGGUUUCUCCAACUUUAGCUGAAUCAGAUUUGACCGAGGAGGUCCUUGGAUGAGAUUAAAUAGCAACUCAUAUAUCUCUGUUGUGGUGUUUGCGUAAGUAAGAUGCGAUCCAACUAGAUACCCCGGUCACCACGUAAAACAUGCAACAACAAAAUUAGAGAACGUCUAACUUGUUUUUGCAGGGUAUUCUUGUGAUGUGAUAUGGCCAACGAUGUGAUGUGAUAUAUUGGAUGUAUGAGAUGAUCAUGUUGUAAUAGAAAUAUCGACUUGCACGUCGAUGGUACGGCAACCGGCAGGAGCCAUAGGGUUGUCUUUAUACUAACGUUUGUGCUUGCAGAUGCGUUUACUAUUUUGCUAGGAUGUAGCUUUAGUAAUAGCAUGAGUAGCACGACAACCCCGAUGGCAACACGUUGAUGGAUGAUCAUGGUGUGGCGCCGGUGACAAGAAGAUCGUGUCGGUGCUUUGGUGAUGGAGAUCAAGAAGCACGUGAUGAUGGCCAUACCAUGUCACUUAUGAAUUGCAUGUGAUGUUAAUCCUUUUAUGCACCUUAUUUUGCUUAGAACGACGGUAGCAUUAUGAGGCGAUCUCUCACUAAAAUUUCAAGACGAAAUUGUGUUCUCCCCGACUGUGCACCGUUGCUACAGUUCGUCGUUUCGAGACACCACGUGAUGAUCGGGUGUGAUAGACUCAACGUUCACAUACAACGGGUGCAAAACAGUUGCGCACGCGGAACACUCGGGUUAAGCUUGACGAGCCUAGCAUGUGCAGACAUGGCCUCGGAACACAUGAGACCGAAAGGUCGAUCAUGAAUCAUAUAGUUGAUAUGAUUAGCAUAGGGAUGCUUACCACUGAAACUAUACUCAACUCACGUGAUGAUCGGACUUGGGAUAGUGUAAGUGGAUCAUGAACCACUCAAAUGACUGGAGAGAUGUACUUUUUGAGUGGGAGUUUGGCAUAUAAUUUGAUUAAGUUGAACUCUAAUUAUCUUGAACAUAGUCUAAGUCCACUUUGAAUAUAUUUGUGUUGUAGAUCAUGGCUCACGCGACAGUCAUCCUGAAUUUUAAUACGUUCCUAGAGAAAGCUAAGUUGAAAGAUGAUGGAAGCAACUUUGUAGACUAGGCUCGUAAUCUUAAGCUAAUCUUACAAGCUGGGAAGAAGGAUUAUGUCCUUAAUGCUGCGCUAGGAGAUGAACCACCCGCUACGGCUGAUCAGGAUGUUAAGAACGCUUGGUUAGCACGUAAGGAGGACUACUCAAUAGUUCAAUGUGCAGUCUUGUAUGGCUUAGAACCGGGACUUCAACGUCGCUUUGAGCGUCAUGGAGCAUUUGAGAUGUUCCAGGAGUUGAAGUUUAUCUUUCAGAAGAACGCCCGGAUCGAGAGGUAUGAGACCUCCGAUAAAUUCUAUGCUUGCAAGAUGGAGGAAAACUCGUCUGUCAGUGAACAUGUGCUCAAAAUGUCUGGGUACUCAAACCGUCUAUCUGAGCUAGGGAUUGAACUCCCGCAAGAAGCUAUCACUAACAGAAUCCUUCAAUCACUGCCGCCAAGCUACAAAGGCUUUGUGUUGAACUACAACAUGCAAGGGACGAACAAGUCUCCCGGCGAGUUGUUUGCGAUGCUGAAAGUCGCAGAGUCUGAACUCCGUAAAGAGCAUCAAGUGUUGAUGGUGAAUAAGACCACUAGUUUCAAGAGAAACGGCAAAGGCAAGAAGGGAAAUUCGAAGAAGAGCGGCAAGCAUGUUGCCAAUCAGCCGAAGAAACCCAAAGCUGGACCUAAGCCUGAAACGGAGUGCUACUAUUGCAAGGGUAUGGGUCACUGGAAGCGCAAUUGCCCCAAGUAUCUGGCAGAUAAGAAGGCGGGCAAAGAAAAAUCAGGUAUAUUUGAUAUACAUGUUAUUGAUGUGUACUUAACCGGCUCCCGUAGUAGUGCCUGGGUAUUUGAUACCGGUUCUGUUGCUCAUAUUUGCAACUCGAAACAGGAACUGCGGAAUAGACGAAGGCUGGCGAAAGAUGAAGUGACGAUGCGCGUAGGAAAUAGUUCCAAGGUUGAUGCAAUCGCCGUCGGCACAGUGUCACUUCAGCUACCGUCGGGAUUAGUGAUGAACUUAAAUCGUUGUUAUUUAGUGCCUGCGUUGAGCAUGAACAUUAUAUCUGGAUCUUGUUUAUUGCGAGACGGUUACUCUUUUAAGUCAGAGAAUAAUGGUUGUUCUGUUUCUAUGAGUAACAUCUUUUAUGGUCAUGCACCGAAUGUGAGAGGAUUGUUCAUAUUGAAUCUUGAUAGCGAUACGCAUGUACAUAACAUUGAGACCAAAAGAGUUAGAGUAAACAAUGAUAGUGCCAUAUUUUUGUGGCACUGCCGCUUAGGUCAUAUUGGUAUAAAACGCAUGAAGAAACUCCAUGCUGAUGGACUUUUGGAGUCACUUGAUUUUGAUUCACUUGACACGUGCGAACCAUGCCUCAUGGGCAAGAUGACUAAGACUCCGUUCUCCGGAACAAUGGAGCGUGCAAGUGACUUAUUGGAAAUCAUACAUACCGAUGUGUGUGGUCCAAUGAGCGUGGAGGCACGCGGCGGAUAUCGUUAUUUUCUCACCUUCACUGACGAUUUGAGUAGGUAUGGUUAUGUCUACUUGAUGAAGCACAAGUCUGAAACAUUUGAAAAGUUCAAGCAAUUUCAGAGUGAAGUGGAAAAUCAUCGUAACAAGAAGAUCAAGUUCCUACGGUCUGAUCGUGGGGGUGAAUAUCUGAGUUUCGAGUUUGGUGAUCACUUAAGAAAAUGUGGAAUUGUUUCACAGUUGACACCGCCUGGAACACCACAGCGUAAUGGUGUGUCCGAACGUCGUAAUCGUACUUUGUUAGAGAUGGUGCGAUCUAUGAUGUCUCUUACUGAUUUGCCAUUAUCAUUUUGGGGUUAUGCAUUAGAAACAGCUGCAUUCACUUUAAAUAGGGCACCAUCAAAAUCCGUUGAGACGACACCAUACGAACUGUGGUAUGGCAAAAGGCCAAAGUUGUCGUUUCUUAAAGUUUGGGGAUGUGAUGCUUAUGUCAAAAAGCUUCAGCCUGAAAAGCUGGAACCCAAAGCGGAAAAAUGCGUCUUCAUAGGUUACCCAAAAGAGACAGUUGGGUACACCUUCUAUCUCAAAUCCGAGGGCAAAAUGUUUGUUGCUAAGAACGGAGCUUUUCUUGAGAAGGAGUUUCUCUCGAGAGAAUUGAGUGGGAGGAAGAUAGAACUUGACGAGGUUGUCGAACCUCUCAUCCCUCUGGAUGGUGGCGCAGGGCAAGGGGAAACCUCUGUCGUUGCGACGCCGGUUGAGGAGGAAGUUAAUGAUGAUGAUCAUGAAACUCCAGUUCAAGUUUCUGUUGAACCACGCAGGUCGACGAGAUCACGUGCUACUCCAGAGUGGUACGGUAAUCCCGUCUUAUCAAUUAUGUUGUUAGACAACAAUGAACCUGCAAAUUAUGAAGAAGCAAUGGUGGGCCCAGAUUCCAACAAAUGGCUAGAAGCCAUGAAAUCCGAGAUAGGAUCCAUGUAUGAGAACAAAGUGUGGACUUUGGAGAUACUACCUGAGGGCCGCAAGGCUAUUCAGAACAAAUGGAUCUUUAAGAAGAAGACGGACGCUGACGGUAAUGUGACUGUUUAUAAAGCACGACUUGUGGCAAAGGGUUUUUCACAAGUUCCAGGAGUUGACUACGAUGAGACUUUCUCACCCGUAGCGAUGCUUAAGUCCGUCAGAAUCAUGUUAGCAAUAGCUGCAUUUUUCGAUUAUGAAAUCUGGCAGAUGGAUGUCAAAACGGCGUUCCUUAACGGUUUCCUUAAGGAAGAGUUGUAUAUGAUGCAACCCGAAGGUUUUGUCGAUCCUAAGAAUGCUGACAAGGUGUGCAAGCUCCAGCGAUCCAUUUAUGGACUGGUGCAAGCAUCUCGGAGUUGGAACAAACGCUUUGAUGAGGUGAUCAAAGCAUUUGGGUUUAUACAAGUGGUUGGAGAAUCUUGUAUUUACAAGAAAGUGAGUGGGAGCUCUGUGGCGUUUCUAAUAUUAUAUGUGGAUGACAUAUUACUGAUUGGAAACAACGUAGAGCUUUUGGAGAGCAUAAAAGGUUACUUGAAUAAAAGUUUCUCUAUGAAGGACCUAGGAGAAGCUGCUUACAUUCUAGGCAUUAAGAUCUAUAGGGAUAGAUCAAAACGCCUGAUAUGACUUUCACAAAGCACAUACCUUGAUAAAGUUUUGAAGAGGUUCAAAAUGGAACAGUCCAAGAAAGGGUUCUUGCCAGUUUUACAAGGUACGAGAUUGAGUAAGACUCAGUGCCCAGCAACUGAUGAAGAUAGAGAGCAUAUGCGCUCCGUCCCCUAUGCUUCAGCCAUAGGUUCUAUCAUGUAUGCAAUGCUGUGCACUAGACCGGAUGUUAGCCUGGCCAUAAGUAUGGCAGGUAGGUUCCAGAGUAAUCCAGGAGUGGAUCACUAGACAGCGGUCAAGAAUAUCCUGAAGUACCUGAAAAGGACUAAGGAGAUGUUUCUCGUAUAUGGAGGUGACGAAGAGCUCGCCGUAAAAGGUUACGUCGAUGCAAGCUUUGACACAGAUCCGGACGACUCUAAGUCGCAAACCGGAUACGUAUUUAUUCUUAAUGGGGGUGCAGUAAGCUGGUGCAGUUCCAAGCAAAGCGUCGUAGCAGAUUCUACAUGUGAAGCGGAGUACAUGGCUGCCUCGGAGGCGGCUAAGGAGGGUGUAUGGAUGAAGCAGUUCAUGACGGAUCUUGGAGUGGUGCCAAGCGCACUGGAUCCAAUAACCUUGUUCUGUGACAACACGGGUGCCAUUGCCUUAGCAAAGGAACCACGGUUUCACAAGAAGACCAGACACAUCAAACGACGCUUCAACCUCAUCCGCGACUACGUCGAGGAAGAGGACGUAAAUAUAUGGAAAGUGCACACGGGUCUGAAUGUAGCAGACCCGCUGACUAAACCUCUUCCACGGCCAAAACAUGAUCGACACCAGAACUGUAUGGGUGUUAGAUUUAUUACAAUGUAAUUCACAUGGUGAUGUGAGGGCUAGAUUAUUGACUCUAGUGCAAGUGGGAGACUGUUGGAAUUAUGCCCUAGAGGCAAUAAUAAAUAUAGUUAUUAUUAUAAUUCCUGUAUCAAGAUAAUAGUUUAUUAUCCAUGCUAUAAUUGUAUUGAAUGAAGACUCAUUUACAUGUGUGGAUACAUAGACAAAAACACCGUCCCUAGCAUGCCUCUAGUUGGCUAGCCAAUUGAUCGAUGAUAGUCAGUGUCUUCUGAUUAUGAACAAGGUGUUGUUGCUUGAUAACUGGAUCACGUCAUUAGGAGAAUCACGUGAUGGACUAGACCCAAACUAAUAGACAUAGCAUGUUGAUCGUGUCAUUUUGUUGCUACUGUUUUCUGCGUGUCAAGUAUUUAUUCCUAUGACCAUGACAUCAUAUAACUCACUAACACCGGAGGAAUGCUUUGUGUGUAUCAAACGUCGCAACGUAACUGGGUGACUAUAAAGAUGCUCUACAGGUAUCUCCGAAGGUGUUAGUUGAGUUAGUAUGGAUCAAGAUUGGGAUUUGUCACUCCGUGUGACGGAGAGGUAUCUCGGGGCCCACUCGGUAAUACAACAUCACACACAAGCCUUGCAAGCAAUGUAACUUAGUGUAAGUUGCGGGAUCUUGUAUUACGGAACGAGUAAAGAGACUUGCCGGUAAACUAGAUUGAAAUAGGUAUGCGGAUACUGAUGAUCGAAUCUCGGGCAAGUAACAUACCGAAGGACAAAGGGAAUGACAUACGGGAUUAUACGAAUCCUUGGCACUGAGGUUCAAACGAUAAGAUCUUCAUAGAAUAUGUAGGAUCCAAUAUGGGCAUCCAGGUCCCGCUAUUGGAUAUUGACCGAGUAGUCUCUCGGGUCAUGUCUACAUAGUUCUCGAACCCGCAGGGUCUGCACACUUAAGGUUCGACGUUGUUUUAUGCGUAUUUCAGUUAUAUGGUUGGUUACCGAAUGUUGUUCGGAGUCCCGGAUGAGAUCACGGACGUCACGAGGGUUUCCGGAAUGGUCCGGAAACGAAGAUUGAUAUAUAGGAUGACCUCAUUUGAUUACCGGAAGGUUUUCGGAGUUACCGGGAAUGUACCGGGAAUGACGAAUGGGUUCCGGGAGUUCACCGGGGGGGGCAACCCACCCCGGGGAAGCCCAUAGGCCUUGGGGGAGACACACCAGCCCUUAGUGGGCUGGUGGGACAGCCCACAAGUACUCUAUGCGCCAAGAGAAGAAAAAUCAAGAGGAAAAGAAAAAAAAGGGAGGAGGUGGGAAGGGAGGAGGACUCCCUCCCACCAAACCUAGUCCAACUCGGUUUGGGGGGGGAGAGUCCUCCCCCUUGGCUUGGCCGACCCCCUUGAGGGUCCUUGGACCCCAAGGCAAGGCCCCCUCCCUCCCACCUAUAUAUACGGAGGUUUUAGGGCUGAUUUGAGACGACUUUUCCACGGCAGCCCGACCACAUACCUCCACGGUUUUAACUCUAGAUCGCGUUUCUGCGGAGCUCGGGCGGAGCCCUGCUGAGACAAGAUCAUCACCAACCUCCGGAGCGCCGUCACGCUGCCGGAGAACUCUUCUACCUCUCCGUCUCUCUUGCUGGAUCAAGAAGGCCGAGAUCAUCGUCGAGUUGUACGUGUGCUGAACGCGGAGGUGUCGUCCGUUCGGUACUAGAUCGUGGGACUGAUCGCGGGAUUGUUCGCGGGGCGGAUCGAGGGACGUGAGGAUGUUCCACUACAUCAACCGCGUUCUCUAACGCUUCUGCUGUACGAUCUACAAGGGUACGUAGAUCNNNNNNNNNNNNNNNNNNNNNNNNNNNNNNNNNNNNNNNNNNNNNNNNNNNNNNNNNNNNNNNNNNNNNNNNNNNNNNNNNNNNNNNNNNNNNNNNNNNNNNNNNNNNNNNNNNNNNNNNNNNNNNNNNNNNNNNNNNNNNNNNNNNNNNNNNNNNNNNNNNNNNNNNNNNNNNNNNNNNNNNNNNNNNNNNNNNNNNNNNNNNNNNNNNNNNNNNNNNNNNNNNNNNNNNNNNNNNNNNNNNNNNNNNNNNNNNNNNNNNNNNNNNNNNNNNNNNNNNNNNNNNNNNNNNNNNNNNNNNNNNNNNNNNNNNNNNNNGCGCGUAGGAAAAUUUUUGUUUCCCUUGCAACGUUCCCCAAAAGUCUUAUCAUAGUCAAGUGUUUGAUCUUGUCGGAAACAUCUUUGCGACAAGUCGAGCUUUUCUUAAUAGAGACUUAUCACCAUCAUCGUCUGUCUUCCUUUUAAAGAUCCAUCUUUACUCAAUAGUCCUAUGACCAUCAAGUAGUUCUUCCAAAGUCUACACUUUGUUUUCAUACAUUGAUCCUCUCUCGGAUUUCAUGGCUUCCAGCCAUUUGUCGGAAUCCAGGCCCACCAUUGCUUUCUCCAUAACUCGUAGGUUCACUGUUGCUCAACAACAUGACCUCCAAGACAGGGUUACCGUACCACUCUGCAGUAGUACGCGACCUUGUCAACCUACGAGGCUUGUAGUAACUUGAUCCGAUGCUCGAUGAUCACCAUCAUCAGCUUUCACUUCAAUUGGUGUAGGCGCCACAGGAACAACUUCCUGCGCCCUGCUACACACUGGUUGAAGUGAUGGUUCAAUAACCUCAUCAAGUUCUACCACCCUCCCACUCAAUUCUUUCGAGAGAAACCUUUCCUCAAGAAAGGAUCCGUUUCUACAAACACUUUGCUUUCGGAUCUGAGAUAGGAGAUGUACCCAACUGUUUUGGAUAUCCUAUGAAGAUGCAUUUAUCCACUUUGGGUUCGAGCUUAUCAGACUGCAACUUUUUCACGUAAGUGUAGAAGCCCCAAACUUUCAAGAAACGACAGUUUAGAUUUCUCUAAACCUCAGUCUAUACUGUGUCAUCUCAACGGAAAUACGCGGUGCCCUAUUUAAAGUGAAUGCGGUUGUCUCUAAUGCAUAACCCAUAAACGAUAGUGGUAAUUCGAUAAGAGACAUCAUAGCAUGCACCAUACCAAAUAGUGUGUGGCUAUGACGUUCAGACACAUCAUCACACUAUGAUGUUCCAGGUGGCAUGAACUGUGAAACAAUUUCCACAUUGUCUUAAGUGCGUACCAAAACUCGUAACUCAGAUAUUCAUUUCUAUGAUCAUAUCGUAGACAGUUUAUCCUCUUGUUACGACGACCUUCACUCCGAAACAGAAUUGAACUUUUCAAUAUUUCAGACUUGUGAUUCAUUAAGUAAAUACUCUUGUAUCUACUCAAAUCGUCAUUGAAGUAAGAACAUAAUGAUAUCCACUGCGUGCCUCAGCACCCAUUGGACUGCAUACAUCAAAAUGUAUCACUUCCAACAAGUUACUAUCUUGUUUCAUCUCAAUGAAAACAAGGCCUUGUUCAUGUAGUAUGAUUUGCAUGUCACUAGUGAUUCAAAAUCAAGUGAGUAUAAAGAUCCAUCAGCAUGGAGCCUCUUCAUGCAAUUUAUACCAACAUGACUCAAGUGGCAGUGCCACAAGUAAGUGGUACUAUCAUCAUUACUUCGUAUCUUUUGGCACCAAUAUCAUGAACAUGUGUAACACUACGAUCGAGAUUCAAUAAACCAUUAAAGGUGAUUAUUCAAGAAAAUAGAGUAACCAUUAUUCUCUUUAAAUGAAUAAUCGUAUUGCAAUAAACACGAUCCAAUCAUGUUCAUGCUUAACGCAAGCACCAAAUAACAAUUAUUUAGGUUUAACACCAAUCCCGAUGGUAGAGGGAGCGUGCGACGUUUAAUCAUAUCAACCCUGGAAAUACUUCCAACACGUAUUGUCACCUUGCCUUUAGCUAGUCUCCGUUUAUGUCGUAGCUUUCAUUUCGUGUUACUAAUCACUUAGCAACCGAACCGGUAUCCAAUAUUGCCGUGCUACUAGGAGUACUAGUAAAGUACACAUCAACAUCAUGUAUAUCAAAUAUACUUCUUUCGACUUUUGCCAGCCUUUUUAUCUAACAAGUAUCUAGAGUUGCUCCGCCUCAGUGACCGUUCCCCUCAUAACAGAAGCACUUAGUCCCGGGCUUGGGUUUAAUCUGGGGUCUCUUCAUUAGUGCAGCAACUGCUUUGUCGUUUCACGAAGUAUCCCUUCUAGCCCUUGCCUUUCUCGAAACUUAGUGGUUUUACUAACCAUCAACUAUUGAUGCUCCUUCUUGAUUUCUACUCUCGCAGUGUCAAACAUCCUGAAUCGCUCAAGGAUCAUUGUAUCUAUCCUUGAUAUGUUAUAGUUCAUCACGAAGCUCUCACAGCUUGGUGCCGGUGACUUUGGAGAACCAUCACUAUCUUAUCUGGAAGAUCAACUCCCACUUGAUUCAAGCGAUUGUCGUACUCAGAUAAUAUGAGCACACGCUCAACGAUUGAGAUUUUCUCCUUUACUUCAUGGACAAAGAAUCUUGUCGGAGGUCUCAUACCUCUUAACAAGGGCACAAGAAUGAAAUCCAAAUUUCAUCUCUUUAAAACAUCUCUUAUGUUCCGUGACAUUUCAAAACGUCUUCGGUGCCUUGCUUCUAAGCCAUUAAAUAUUUUGCACUGAACUAUUGUGUAGUCAUCAGAAACGUGUAUGUCGGAUGUUCACAACAUCUACAGACGACGCUCGAGGUGCAGCACACCGAGUGGUGCAUUAAGGACAUAAGCCUUCUGCGCAGCAACGAGGAUAAUCCUCGGUUUUACAGACUCAGUCUGCAAAGUUUGCUACUAUCAACUUUCAACUAAAUUUUCUCUAGGGACAUAUAAAAACAGUAGAGCUAUAGCGCAAGCUACAUCGUAAUUCGCAAAGACCAUUAGACAAUGUUCAUGAAAAUUAGUUCAAUUAAUCAUAUUACUUAAGAACUCCCACUCAAAAAGUACAUCUCUCUAGUCAUUUGAGUGGUACAUGAUCCAAAUCCACUAUCUCAAGUCCGAUCAUCACGUGAGUCGAGAAUAGUUUCAGUGGUAAGCAUCUCUAUGCUAAUCAUAUCAACUAUACGAUUCAUGCUCGACCUUUCGGUCUCAUGUGUUCCGAGGCCAUGUCUGCACAUGCUAGGCUCGUCAAGCUUAACCCGAGUGUUCCGCGUGUGCAACUGUUUUGCACCCGUUGUAUGUGAACGUUGAGUUAUCACACCCGAUCAUCACGUGGUGUCUCGAAAUGAAGAACUGUCACAACGGUGCACAGUCGGGGAGAACAGAAUUUCGUCUUGAAAUUUUAGUGAGAGAUCACCUCAUAAUGCUACCGUCGUUCUAAGCAAAAUAAGGUGCAUAAAGGAUUAACAUCACAUGCAAUUCAUAAGUGACAUGAUAUGGCCAUCAUCAUGUGCUUCUUGAUCUCCAUCAUCAAAGCACCGGCACGAUCUUCUUAUCACCGGCGUCACACCAUGAUCUCCAUCAACGUGUCGCCAUCGGGGUUGUUGUGCUACUCAUGCUAUUACUACUAAAGCUACGUCCUAGCAAUAUAGUAAACGCAUCUGCAAGCACAAACGUUAGUUUAAAGACAACCCUACGUGCAAGUUGAUAUUAAAUAUUACAACAUGAUCAUCUCAUACAUCCAAUAUAUCACAUCACAUCGUUGGCCAUAUCACAUCACAAGCAUACCCUACAAAAACAAGUUAGACGUCCUCUAAUUGUUGUUGCAUGUUUUACGUGGUGACCAUGGGUAUCUAGUUGGAUCGCAUCUUACUUACGCAAACACCAGAACGGAGAUAUAUGAAUUGCUAUUUAACCUCAUCCAAGGACCUCCUCGGUCAAACCCGAUUCAACUAAAGUUGGAGAAACCGACACUCGUCGGUCAUCUUUGAGCAACGGAGUUACUCGUAGCGAUGAAACCAGUCUCUCGUAAGCGUACGAGUAAUGUCGGUCCGAGCCGCUUCGAUCCAACAAUACCGCAGAAUCAAGAAAAGACUAAGGAGGGCAGCAAAACGCACAUCACUGCCCACAAAAACUUUUGUGUUCUACUCGAGAAGACAUCUACGCAUGAACCUAGCUCAUGAUGCCACUGUUGGGGAACGUCGCAUGGGAAACAAAAAUUUUCCUACGCGCACGAAGACCUAUCAUGGUGAUGUCCAUCUACGAGAGGGGAUUUCCGAUCUACGUACCCUUGUAGAUCGCACAGCAGAAGCGUUAAGAAACGCGGUUGAUGUAGUGGAACGUCCUCACGUCCCUCGAUCCGCCCCGUGAACCAUCCCACGAACCGUCCCGCUAUCCGUCCCACAAUCCGCUCCGAUCUAGUGCCGAACGGACGGCACCUCCGCGCUCAGCACACGUACAGCUCGACGAUGAUCUCGGCCUUCUUGAUCCAGCAAGAGAGACGGAGAGGUAGAAGAGUUCUCCGGCAGCGUGAUGGCGCUCCGGAGGUUGGUGAUGAUCUUGUCUCAGCAGGGCUCCGCUCGAGCUCCGCAGAAACGCGAUCUAGAGGAAAAACCGUGGAGGUAUGUGGUCGGGCUGCCGUGGCAAAAGUUGUCUCAAAUCAGCCCUAAUAGCUCCAUAUAUAUAGGAGGAGGGGAGGGGAGGCUUGCCUUGAGGCUCAAGGAGCCCCAAGGGCUGCGCCACCAAGGGGAGGAGGAGUCCUCCUCCAAUCCUAGUCCAACUAGGAUUGGAAGGUGGAGUCCUUCUCCUCUUUCCCACCUUUCCUUUUUUUCUCCUCUUUUGUCUUUUUCUUUCUCUCUUGCGCAAGACAGCCUUGGGCUGACCCCACCUACUUGGUACGCCACCCCCAAGGUCCUUGGGCCCUCCCGGGUGGGUGGUCCCCCUCCCGGUGAAUAUCCGGAACCCAUUCGUCAUUCCUGGUACAUUACCGGUAAUGCCCGAAAAACUUCCGGUAACCAAAUGAAGUCAUCCUAUAUAUUAAUCUUCGUUUCCACACCAUUCUGGAAACCCUCGUGACAUCUGUGAUCUCAUCCGGGACUCCGAACAACAUUCGGUAACCAACCAUAUAACCCAAAUACGCAUAAAACAACGUCGAACCUUAAGUGUACAGACCAUGCGGGUGCGAGAACUAUGUAGACAUGACCCGAGUGACUCCUCGGUCAAUAUCCAAUAGCGGGACCUGGAUGCCCAUAUUGGAUCCUACAUAUUCUACAAAGAUCUUAUCGUUUGAACCUGAGUGCCAAGGAUUCAUAUAAUCCCGUAUGUCAUUCCCUUUGUCCUUCGGUAUGUUACUUGCCUGAGAUUCGAUCGUCAGUAUCCGCAUACCUAUUUCAAUCUCGUUUACCGGCAAGUCUCUUUACUCGUUCCUUAAUAUAAGAUCCCGCAACUUACACUAAGUCACAUUUGCUUGCAAGGCUUGUGUGUGAUGUUGUAUUACCGAGUGGGCCCCGAGAUACCUCUCCAUUACAAGGAGUGACAAAUCCCAGCCUCGAUCCAUACUAACUCAACGAACACCUUCGAAGAUACCUGUAGAGCAUCUUUAUAGUCACCCAGUUACGUUGCGGCGUUUGAUACACACAAAGCAUUCCUCCAGUGUCAGUGAGUCAUAUGAUCUCAUGGUCAUAGGAACAAAUACUUGACACGCAGAAAACAGUAGCAACAAAAUGACACGAUCAACAUGCUACGUCUAUUUGUUUGGGUCUAGUCCGUCACAUGAUUCUCCUAAUGAUGUGGUCCCGUUAUCAAGUGACAACACUUGCCUAUGGUCACGAAACCUUGACCAUCUUUGAUCAACGAGCUAGUCAACUAGAGGCUUACUAGGGACAGUGUUUUGUCUAUGUAUCCACACAUGCACUGUGUUUCCAAUCAAUACAAUUAUAGCAUCGAUAAUAAACGAUUAUCAUGAACAAAGAAAUAUAAUAAUAACUAAUUUAUUAUUGCCUCUAGAGCAUAUUUCCAACAUAAAUGAAGGAAAGAUUGAUGUAAUAUGACUUCUAUCCUGUUUGAAAAAUGUUUCAGUUUACAUGGUAGGGAAAUUUACAGUAAUGAAUGAAAAGGUUAUGAAAAUGUGCUAAAAUUGUAUCAUUUGUAGAAAUAAGUUUUUGGAGGAGCUGCAUACUGCUGCAAAGACAACUUUGACAGCAACGAAUGAAGCAGUACUAAUAGCAUUUGUCGAUUUGGCUAUUUAAACAACUUUUCAGUUUCACAUAAGAGAAAAUAUACCAUGAUGGAUCAAAAUGGUACAAAACAUAUUAUAAAUUGACCAAUUUCCACAUGUAAGUUGUUGUUUGAGGUACAUUAGGCAACAAAUACUACUCUGUAAUAAUGAAAUGGUCGAAGGGCUACUGUUAUUUGACAAUGAUGACGUAUAUAUUAACUUUUAGUUUUAAACGAACGGAAAUCUAAAGUGACAGAUUAAGAUGAUGUGAAAAUGAUGUUAAUGAUGUAUAAAUCCUACAUGAGGGUGAGCCACAUACUGCUGCACAGAGUAGUGGCAAACUAUGAAAUGAAGAAAAUGAUGUCGUAAUAUGGCGACUACCCUAUUUUAAAAAUAUUCCACUUCCCCAUGAAGAGAAAAUUUAUAGUAAUGAAUAAAAAAGGUUAUAAGAAAAGUGCUGAAAUUAUAUCAUCUCCACAUGUAAGUUGUUGGAGGACCUACAUAUUGCUGUAGAGAUAACUUUGGAAGCAAGAAAUGAAGCAAUAUUGUUUUGCUUAUAUAGUUGUUUUGGUCAUUUAAUUAUUGUUUUUUAUUAUUUUUAGUUGGUUCUUUCUAUAGAUUUUAACAUGUUGUGGUAUGGUGCAUAUUGAAUGCACAGGAAGUCUAGAGUUGAAUUAAUUUUUUUAAAAUGCCUUUGUAGCAUAUGGGUUUUCGUCUCAAACCUUGAUACUUCGAAGGAGAUAAUCCAGUUCGUACACGAAGUGCAUCCAGUUUUUGCGGUAACCCACUCAACUUUGCAGCACAUGGCAUGUGGGUAAAAUGAUGAUACCAUAACAAGUUUUAGCCUUUUCAGAGUUCAUUUGUAGGGUUUUUCAAUUUCAGGGUCAUUUAGCUCAAAAAAUCAUUAAAUGCAUGAAAAAUAGAAAAUGAGGUGAGAAAGGGUUCAAAAUUUAUGAGGUGGCUUUGAAUGAUGGAUAUUGAACACAUAAAAACUAUGGAGUUCAAAUAACCAAAAAAUGAAAUCCUUUUGUAAGAGAUGAGUUCUCGUUCGAAACCCUGAUACUUCGAAAGAGAUUGUCCGUUUUGUACACGAAAUACAUCCAGUUUUUGUCGUAACUCUCUCCAGGUUUUAGCACAUGCCAUGUGGUUGAAAUGAUCCUACCAUGCCAAAUUUAAACCUUUUUAGAGUUCAUUCGUAGUGCUUUUCAAUUUCAGGGUCAAUUAGCUCAAAAAAUAAGUAAAUGCAUGAAAAAUACCAAAUUGAGUGUGAAAAUGUUGAAAAUUUAUGAUGUACCUUUGAAUGGGGCAUUUUAAACACACAAAAAGUAUGGAGUUGAAAUAAGUUCAAAAAAAUGAAAUCCCUUUGCAAGAGAUGAGUUUCGUUCGAAACCCUGAUACUUCGAAGGAGAUGGUCCAGUUUGUACACGAACUGUAUCCAGUUUUAGCCGUAACCCUCUCAACUUUGUAGUACAAACUAUGUGGGUAAAUGAUGAUAUCAUGCCAAGUUUCAACAUUUUCAGAGUUCAUUAGAGUGUUUUUCAUUUGCAGGGGCAUUUAGCUCAAAAAACAUUAAAUGCAUGAAAAUAGCAAAUAAAGUUAGAAAGGGUUAACUCUAUCUUGGUUAACCUUAGACGAGGACUGUGACGGGGACGGCGCUAGCAGAUGUAGUCGACGGGUAUGAUUGGACUCUUGGCCCGCUAUAGCUCCGCUAUAGCUGAUUUAGAGGCUCGCCACUAUUUGCCAUAGCCCGCUAUUUAAAACAUUGGUUCCAACCGGUAGCAUCCUGCUUACCGCCGGUUCCAGCUUCCUCAGUUGCCUGUUGCAGCACACCCCCGCUGCGCUCGCAUCUUUCCUGCCAGGGCCGGUCCUGAGGGAGGGCGGAAGGGGCGGCCGCCCCGGGCCCCCUCCCUAGCCAGGUACACACUAGCUCAAAGUACAGGUGAAAAAAAUCCUAGGUCCAGCAAGCAGCUCGCGUCCUUCCUCGCAUCUAGAUUCUGUUCGAUCGCCCAGAGAAAAACAAUCACAUAGCUAGCCUAGUACACGGGGCCUGCCUUAUUUCCUGUUUAAUCGACAUGAUUUUCUCCAACCAGAUCGCUGCAAUCAUUUCUUUCCUAACAACAUUGCUACUAUCCUUAAAAAAGAUCACUAGUACUUAUCCAGCAGACCCAGCUAGCGCUCCAGUUGCGGGUCCCACGUUCGGACACCGAAGAACUGCGCUCGCGAGACACUAGUCUCCAUCCGCCGGACACACACUCGGAUGCACGGCCAGACCGCAUGGUUGAGCGCCUCCUGCAAGACACCGGUGCAAUCCAAAUGGCGUCAUGACCAAGCCCCAGAUUACCGACCAACCAAUGUGAAUCCAAGGUUAUCGUUCUGAAAUUCAGCCAUUUGUGUGGUACACAUGCUCGUAGUCAUACUUACAAAUUAUAUCACUUCUGUUGAAACUAAUAAAUUGGACCAAUGAUGAAACUACUUUUACUUUUAGUAAAUUGUAGAACUUUGGUGCUGCAGUUUCUUAGAUUGGAAUGAGAAAUUUUCACACGAUUUUCCCAACAUUUAUGCAACACUUUUUUUCUUCAAUAGAUUGGAGUUCAGAGCUCUUUCAAAUUGUCUUAUGUGAUUGCAUGUAUAUUUACUCUCAAAUGUGCAAAUUCAAGAGCUUUAAACUCUUGUGCAAUUAAUAAAAAGUCAUUUAUCUAUAUUAUGUACUUCCUAUUUUCAUUUUCGUGCAUUUUAGGAUCCAACGUUUCAAAACAUUAUUUUAGAGAUUUGUUCAAGAAUUAUGUGCCGAGACAUAUGAGUAUUAAUAGAUACAAAGUUUUAGUUUCGCCCUGGGCCUCCAAAAUCUCAAGACCGGCCCUGUUUCCUGCUAUAUAUGUCGGCCACCGGGUCGUAGCACGACCCCUAUCAAAGUGUACGACGACCAUGACAGAGGAAGACGGCGGGGUAUUGGGGUUGCAACUCACCGCGGUGGUGGUUCCAGCAGCACGGCCCACACCACCCCCAUGUUGCUCCAUCGAUCAUGUGCCGCCGCCUCGCAGGGUCGCAUCUCGCCAUCCUGCUGGAUCUGGCAAGGCCGCAGGGUCACAACACGGAAAAAGAGAAGGGGGAGCAUGCAGUUUUGUGAUGUAAAGCUUGCAGCGAUGGUGCUGUUGCAGCCCUGCGGUGCAUUGUGCAUGAGUAGGAAUGCAGCACCCCGGUGCGAUCUGAGGUGAAAAAAAGCAAGGGGAGAUGGAAAGAGGUGCAAUAAUGCUAAACAUAUAAAGAUUUACAGACUUUUCACACGCUGAUUAUGAUGAUUUUAACCUAGCUAAUCUCCCUCCUGAUUUUCAAGGGGUGGCCCCCCUCCCCCUCAAUCUCUAAUCAAAACCCACAUCCCUGCAAAGGCCCGUAUUCUUUUUGACGUGUAGCAUUACUCUGAAGCCAAGGAACACGGAAAGCGGUGCGCACGGAUCCCACAACAAUAUGACAUGGCAUUAUCGGUGGCGUUAAAUCGUGAGGGAUCCAGCGACACACGCGCAACCGGCACGUCGCUUCAGCUGGUCAGCGGGCACGCAAUUCCGUAGUUAUAUAGGAUCAUCAAAGCAUGCCAUUCAGUUACCUUCAAGUUUCAGCAGGUAGACAAUGCCAUUACUUCCAUGUUUGUGUUAGCUAGCUUUAUCAUUCAGUAAGUCAGCAGGUUAUUCUUAGAAACAACAUAUGGGUAGCUCAAACUAUCCAGUCAUCCAUAUGAGAAGGCGCUUUACGUACUACCACUAGAAGGUUGUUCCAGCUCGUAGCAAGUGACAGAGUCCUGACUCCGGAUCUGUAGAAGUUAAUCAUAUUGUUUCUUUAGGAUUAGGAAAGAAAGUCAAACCGAGUCCUAUUAGUAUUAGGAUUCCUAGUCCUAGUCUAUUUCCAUAGUCCCUUGUGGACGUGUAUAAAAGAUACCCUAGGGGUGUUGAUUGUAACACCAGAAAAACGAAAAGCAAUACAAAGCAAAGUCACGACAUGGGCCUUUAGCCAUCAAAUCCAUCGAUCAGUUUUAUUCGUGUCGCUAGUUACGCAAGUUCCGUCAAGUAGCCGGCCGAAGCAAGAAUCGCGUAGGCACGCCUGUACAGCUGCAUACGCACGUUCAAAAGCCAACAAUUGGUAUCUAGAGCCUCGACGAUCUACGAUCUACGAUGACGGACAACGACGUUGAGUCGGUCAAGUCCGGCAAGGGCGGUGCCAAGGCGAACAAGAACGGCAACAAGGUGAAGAAGGGCGUCAAGUCAGCAACCAGUGGUGGAGGAACGAGCGGCGCCAACGUCCAGGCGCAUCGCAACAUUCCCAUCCAGUACCCGAUGCUCACCGACGCCAACUAUGGCGUGUGGGCGGUGAAGAUGAAGAUUAUUCUCCGAACCCUUCGAGUGUGGCAGGCAAUCACGGACGACGACGUCGAUGACGAGUCCGACGAAGGUGCCAUGGCCGCCAUUGCCCAGUCUGUGCCGGAUUCCGUGCUAAUGAUAUUGGCGGAGUUCGAGACGGCAAGAGAGGCGUGGAACGCACUCAAAGAGAUGAGGAUCGGAGAAGAUCGCGUCACCAAGGCACGGGCACAAGUGCUGAAGCGCCAAUUUUACAAGUUGCAGAUGGAGGAAACUGAAUCGGUGAAUGACUACGCCAUGCGUCUUACUACUUUGGUGGGAGAGAUCCGCGCGCUUGGUGCAAAGCUCGAUGAGACCGAGAUCAUGGAGAAGUUUUUCAGUUCAGUCACUGAUAAAUUCACGUACAUCAUCGACACGCUCAAGCAGCUUUACGACAUCGAUGACAUGACCAUAACGGAGGCGAUCGGACGAUUGCGGACAUGGGAAGAGAAUGCUCGUGGCUGUCGGAAAGGCAAAGGAGGAGGUAGCGACCAACUCAUGUACUCGCGCGCAGAUUGGGAGGCCCCAAGUAGCAAAAGAAGGCGUGACGGUGGCGAAGGCUCAAGCAACACGAAGGGCGAUGGACAAACCGAAAAAGGCAAAGGAAAAGGCAAACCACAAGGUCAUGGUAAGGCGGGCCAAUCUAAAGAGCAGAAACCACGGAACUUGGACUUGUCCGAGGUCAAGUGCUAUAACUUCAAUAAGAUGGGUCACUUUGCGAAGGAUUGUCCAAAGCCUAACAAGCGGGAGAUCAAGGCAAAUUUGGCAAAGCAGAAAGACGAAGGUCCAGGUCUUCUGAUGGCCGAAGUUUGCGAUCUCGCUGAAACGGUGGUUGUGAAACCAAGCCGGAAGGUGCUACUUCAUGAGGAAAAAGUGACACCAAAGUUAUCCGGUGAUCAGAACGUGUCGUGGUAUCUCGACACGGGUGCCAGUAACCACAUGACGGGGUGCAAGGAGAAAUUCCUCGAGCUGGAAUACGAUGUUGAAGGCUCGGUCAAGUUCGGUGAUGGUUCAGCUGUGGAGAUUUGCGGGCAAGGAUCUGUCCUCUUUGAGGGUCUCAUAGGCGAACAUCGCAUACUCACCGGAGUGUACUACAUCCCACGGCUGCGCAACAACAUCAUCUCUAUUGGGAAGCUUGACGAGAAUGGAUGCAAGGUGAAUAUCGAGAGGAGUGAUGACGAUCUUCGACAACCUCUGAAACGUGCUAGCUCGUGUUAAUCGCACACGGAAUAGGCUCUAUAUCCUCAACCUUGAUCAAUCUCAACCGGAGUGUUGGCUUGCCAAGAGUGAUGAUGAUUCGUGGUUAUGGCAUGCUAGAUUUGGACACGUUAACUUCUACGCCUUGAAGAAGAUGUCAAAGAUGGAGAUGGUAUCCGGGAUGCCAGUUAUCGACCGUGUUGAUCGAGUAUGUGACGGGUGCUUGGUUGGAAAACAGCACCGCAGGCCAUUCCCUGCUCAGUCUACCUAUCGUGCAAGUGAUGCACUUGAGCUGCUCCAUGGUGAUCUAUGUGGCCCUAUCACCCCGGCAACUCACGCUGGAAAGAAGUAUUUCUUGCUUGUGGUAGACGACUACUCGAGAUAUAUGUGGGUCAUUCUCCUACGAUCUAAAGAUGAGGCGUUUGAAGCGUUCAAGAAGUUGAAGGCUGCAACGGAGAUGGAACACAAGCUGAAGGUUCGCGCUCUACGGACAGAUCGCGGCGGAGAGUUUACGUCGAAUGAGUUCAACGACUACUGCGAGAAGAUUGGCAUAAAGAGGUUCCUCACGGCACCUUACACUCCGCAGCAGAAUGGGGUCGUUGAAAGGCGCAAUCAAACUGUCGUUGACAUGGCAAGGAGUUUACUCAAGAGCAAGAACCUGCCGGGGACUUUUUGGGGAGAAGCUGUCUCGACGGCAGUCUAUCUUCUAAACCGGGCUCCAACGAAGGCGGUGAUCGGCAAGACUCCGUAUGAAGCAAUUUACGGACGUAAGCCGAAUGUGUCUCAUCUACGGACAUUCGGAUGCGUGGCACAUGUGACGACGGCGGAGCCGCACCUCUCAAAGCUUGCCGAUCGUAGCACCAAGAUGGUGUUCAUCGGAUACGAGAGCAGUUCUGGCACCAAGGCAUGCCGUUUCUACGAUCCACAAACCAAACGUCUACGGAUUUCACGCGACGUCGUGUUUGAAGAAAACCAAGCGUGGAAUUGGAGCGCCGCAGCCGACGAUGCUCCAAACAGUAACAUAUUUGCAGUUGAAUUUCCAACUGACGAUGAUGCAGGAGAAGAUGUCCAGGUGGUUGGCAAGACGCCGAACCAAGGUGGCCACAAUGGUAGUGAUCAUCAUGGUGCCGACACCGACGACGACGUGCAUAGGUCACAAGGAGAUAGCGACAACAAAGCACACGGCACGGGUGGAGAUCUCGACGACAACAUCGACAACGAGGCGCAUAGUGACGAUGACAAUCAAGAUGAUGGUCAUGAUCACGACGACUACGCCGACGACACGGAUGUCGAUGACACACCAGGGUCUCAGCCGUCUUCCUCAAGUGCAUCAACACCGACACAAUUUGUGUCGCCUCCUUCGCAAGCCACAACGGAUUCCUCGGGGCCUCAUCGCUACAAGACCCUCAAGAAAGUCUACAAGUACACAAAGCCAGUUACGCUCGAGUACUCCGGACUAUGUCUGUUCGGAGUUGAGGAGCCGGCGAACUUCGUAGAGGCGAGCAAAAGUCCUAGCUGGACGCACGCCAUGGAUGAGGAGAUGAAGGCAAUUGAGAGCAAUGGCACGUGGAAUUUGGUAACCCGACCUCCAAACCAAAAGAUGAUAGGUUUGAAGUGGGUUUACAAGUUAAAGAAGGACACGGAGGGUGCCAUUGUGAAGUACAAGGCAAGACUCGUUGCAAAGGGCUACGUACAACGUCAAGGAGUUGACUAUGAUGAGGUGUUUGCACCGGUUGCUCGAAUCGAGACGGUGAGAGUGCUCCUAGCUUUGGCAGCACAAGA